Molecule: long non-coding RNA, 81119 nt
Filed under: Brassica napus (rape)
Lineage: Eukaryota; Viridiplantae; Streptophyta; Magnoliopsida; Brassicales; Brassicaceae
Description: long non-coding RNA (BNAP_LNC005128)
Rfam family: U5 spliceosomal RNA (bases 59320-59437)
Source: RNAcentral
CGCAGGCGACGGCGAUCUGUUGCGGAGAGCGAAGGAAACAGCCGGCGGUUUACUAUCUCCGUUGCUGUUAUUGCUCCCAGUGGAGGAUAGAGAAGAAGGUGCGUGACGAGCGGGUUUCAGAGAAGCAGGUGCGAAUCUGAGGCUUAGAUCUUCAUCCUCGUCUUCCUCAUCUUCGUCUCCGUUGUCUUUGUUCUGCAAGGCCAUGACCUUAGCCAAUCUCUGAGCCGCCGCUUUGGCAGCAACGUUUUGAGACCGUUUGGCGGUGGAGAAACCUCCCACGCCUCCCAGUUGUUUCCGGUGAGCAGGAGACAUCGUCGGCGACGACGAUUCGGUACUGUUCGAUGUGUCGCUCCACUGGCGACCAUACACUGGGCUGCCCGCCCUCCUCCGAUCCAUAACUAACGUUUCGUGAAGUUACCAGUAAUCCACUGAUUAAUCAGAGAGAAAAAAUCGAAUUUCUCGGGAAAAAGCUAGAUUUUCUCGAGAAAAUCAAAAGAGGAAAACCGUUCGGUGAGAUUUGGAGAAAAGUGUUGGGAAUAAUUGAGACCCCGAAACGACAUCGUUUGAAGCGGAGAAGACCCAUUUGCGAGCAUCGCGGGAGAACCAAGUGACCUGAACACCGUGGCUGUGGGACCCAGCAGUCAAGUGCUGGUGGAUAUUUCCCUUUACAUAAUUUAAUAUUCAUUAUUUAAUUUGAAUUCAAAGCCAAGUUUGAAAUUAUAUUGAUCUAAUAUGGUUCAUGAUUUUUAAAUUGAAUGUGUCAACUUAAUCCGCGUGGGUGAUAUUCUACAUGUGGAUGAUAUUUUAGCGGAAAAAUAUAAAUCAUUUUGAAAAUAAUAAAUCAUAUUUUUGAUGAUAUAAUUAUUUUUUUACAAAAAUAUAUAAAAUUUAAAUGUAUUUUAAUUAGAAAACUCAACAUGAUGAUAGAAAUCACAUUUUAGAGGUGUUUAGAAAAUCGGUACAAUCUCAUCUAUACCGCAAAUUGGUUAUAAUUUUUGAAAUUGGUUUAAACGACGUUUAAGUAUUUUUUUAGUAUUGAGUUUAGCAAUUUCUAUAAUAUUACUCAAAAUAGUUAGUAUUUUAUGUGUCUAUUCACAUUAUUUCUCACAUUGACCAGUUACGUUGAUAUUAUUAAUGCGUUAGUUCUUAUAACUAAUUAUCAUUGUUAAUAUUUACAAUUUUUAAUUAUUAUUAUGUUUUACUUUAUAUUAGUUUCUAGACAUAGUAAAAAGGGAAUCUUUUAAAAAUAUUUCUAAAACUAUUUGAUAUAUUUUUCUUUCUUUUGAAUUUCAGUUAAGUUGAAUCUUGAGAUUCAAAGCAUCUAUAGUCUAUCACCAUGAGAAUGCUGGGUUCAAAGAAGGAAAAAUCUUCAUCAACAACCAAAAAAAACAGAUUUUAGAGUGAAAGAAUGCUCAUCAAAUAACCAUAUUGCAACAGAAGCUUGACCAAAACGCAUAUGUCUCAUCAUAUUUGCUUAGCAAUCUCUCAGUAAUGUAUUGUCACAUAGCAAAAAUACAGUCGACUGAUUUUUCUCAAGGAUCCAAAUAUUUUCCUUGAUUUCUUAAAGGGUUCAGUGAGAAACAAACGGUUCCCAGAAAGUCUAUAAAUAUAAGUUUUGAUGCUUCUAGUCAUACUAAGAAACAAACGGUUCCCAGAAAAUUUGAGCAAGUUUGAGUUACCAUUUGGUAAACUGACCAUGAGGCACAUGCAGUGGCGGAGGCACUUAAGAGGCAUGGUGGUCAACUGACCCAUGUAAAGUCUAUAAAUAUAAGUUUGUAGGCAUAUUUUGCAUGUUGUUAUUAUGGUAAUUGGUAAAUUGGUUAAGAUCCUUCCUUUUGAUCCACAUGUCAUAGGUUCAGACCUCAUAGAUGUUUUUUUUGUCUAUAAUAGCUCUGCCACUGGGCACAUGAGCUCAAGUUGUCAUCAAGUAUAAAACGUCGAACCCAUAUAUUUCGUGUAGCAGUACUUGGUAGUUGGUAGUUGGUACAAUCGCUUCACUUAUUAUCCUCUCAAGAAGAAAUACUGCACCUUCUCUACAAAUUAGACUUGCAUAGACCCAUAGCAUGUUUGUGUAUGAGAUAACAUCAGCCCACCCACUUUAUUCCUCCACGUGAAACUUGAUUUAACAUCUGGACUGUCCUCUCAGCUUUCCCACGCUAAAUUAUCAUAUUCCUCGUGAGCUCAUCCGGAGAUUUACCAUCAGCCGUCAAUUUCCAUGCUAGCUGCAGAGCUAACCCGGGGAGACAUGUAUUGCUAAUCCAUGUAAAAGCGUUUUGAAAGUCGUUGAGUCCACUCCAGACUUCUUAUGGAUAUCUCUCGGGUGAGGCCAUAAGCUUCUUCUGUUAGGUUCGUCUUUGAGAGCCCAUCUAAUAGUGAGUAACAAUGUUGGAGGACACUUGUGUAGCUGCUCCAUUUCUCGGUACACUUCUGCCCAUUCAAGCCUCCUUGCAUCGCACAAACCUUUCAAUUGAAGAAUAUAUCCAUUAUAAAACUAUAACCAUACAGAUACAUGAACAAUUUUCUUUGCACGUUAAGAGAAGACAUCAACACACAAAUCAAAUUCUAAAGUUUAUGUCACUUAACCAAUAUACAUUUAUUUGAACAGUUCUUGGAUCUUUCUAAUUUAAAUUGUAUGCAUGAUUAGCUUUAAAAAUUAUUGAUUAUAUUUGAUCAAAUAAAGAAAAAGUAUAAAUGUAAAUAAGAUUUGUGUGGUCAUUUUGUCAUAAAAUAUCUAUUUAUUACUGGAAUAAUCAUCAGCUUAUAUGGUACAAGUAUACUACUCUAUUGAUGCACUUAACUUACAAAACAUCUUUAUCAUUAAAUAUACAUACCUUUAGCUGGCGGAAUCUAAAAUCUUACAUCUUUUGAAUCAGCACAAGACGUUUUCAUCAUUAACGUCAACUGAAUUAAGCUAAAAAUGUAUAUGAGGGAUAAAAAUUGGAAGUGUCGGAAAGUCGAAAGGAUUUGCUUUUCAUUACAGAACUCUCAUAGUUGUGCACGAGCGUACGUGUAAAAAAAAGAAAAAAAGAACAUCCCAUCUUUCUCUCUCCUCGGCCUAGUUCGAUUCACCUGAUGACGAUUAUCUUUUCUCACAUCCCACUUCUUCUGACCUCUCCAGAUAAAACCUAAAAUACCUAAGCAAAAAGAUUUGACCUUUCGUCCUCUCAACUAGCUUCUAAAGUGAAACAAGAAAGCUCUAGAAAUGGCGGAACUGCAACCAGCUGACAACAGUAAUCAGCAACCAAACGGCGGCGUCACUCCUUCGGUUCCUUCAACCUCAGCGGAAGCGCUGGCGAUCCCCGGCGGCGGAUCGAAACGACUGAGGAGACCAAGCGUUCGAUUAGGCGAAAUCGGCGGCGACUAUCACUACGAUCCUCAGUCGAGGAAACCGAAGUGGGCACCGACGGCGACGGGGAACAAGACCAAAUCGUCGACGAGGACUCGGGCCCUGACGAAUAUCGGAACCCUAGAUGAUGAAAACGUUGAUUCUUUUGGUGUGGUUGGGAGUUGGCGGGUCAAGAAACGGGUCGGGUCAUCUACAGCAGGUGCGGCGAAGCGGGUAAGCUCCAAUUGGGAAGAAUUGGAAGGUGGGUUUAGGGAUUUCAGUAGAGAAGAUUCAGAGAGUCCGGUAAAGGAGGAGUCUUUAGUGAGAGACCGUGGUGGUGGUGGUGGGUUUUACGGUAGAGAAGGGGUCAAGAUUUGGUUGCAAGAGUUAGGGUUAGGGAGAUACUGGCCUAUGUUUGAGAUACAUGAGGUUGAUGAUGAGGUUUUGCCUUUGUUGACUUUGGAUGAUUUGAAAGAUAUGGGGAUUACUGCUGUUGGCUCCAGGAGGAAGAUGUUCUCUGCUAUUCAGAAGCUUGGUAGGGAGUUCUCAUGAUCGUCGAGAGUUUUGAUCGGUUUAGAAGAAGAAAAAACAUGUUUUGUGUUGUUGUUGUUUUAGUUGGUGAGAUAGUCAGUCAUGGCAUUGUAAGCUUGCAAUGUCUGAAACCACGAAUGAGAGAAGCCUUUUCUUCGUUUUUGUUUGUUAUAGUAUUUCAUUCGACGAUUGUUCUUACCUUUGUUGCUGCUUGUUUCAAUGUAGAAUUAACUACAGUUAUAUCAGUAGAAGUAGAGGUGGGAAAAGAAGAAGAUGAAGAAGAAGUAAUGAGAAGGUUUUCUUUUACUCUUUUGAUAUUUCUCUCUACUUCUUUUGAGAUGUUUCCAUGGAUGGUCUCUUUGAUGAUAAUGAACUUGUUGAAUAGUUGCAGCUUGUAUACCGAUUUGCGAUAAGAGUUUGAAAGAUAUGAAACUAAAUGUUGUCAGUCUAGCUUUUGAUUAGCAUUGUUAAGUAUUUAGCUAUCUCAUUAUGUAAAAACAGGAACAAGUACUUCGAUUCUUCUGGUAUGUCAGAAACAGGAGACGUGGAUAUGAAAAAUUCAGGUUUAUUGCGGAUUAGAGUUAGAUGUGAAUAUUGUCAUUUGGGUUGGCUGUAAAAUCAUUGAGAAACAAACGGUCCUAUAGAAAUAAAAUGUAUCAUUGUUUUCUCAUAUCAGGAGAGGUACAGUUAACCUAUAAAACAUGUACUAAUCUAUUAUAUAAUAGGAGAGUUUCUCUCAUCCUGAUGCGACACAUCCGCGAUCUGUGGGUCCUACUUUUUAAAAAUGUAAAAAAAUGUCAAAUAUGUGACUAGAACCCGGGUUAUUGAGAUAUAAGCACCCACAACUAUACCAUUGCACCAAAGGAUACUUUGUACAUUGAUGGUCGAAACUAAUAUAUAUUAUAAAGGUCGGAAACUAAUAUAACAUUGUGGACUCCACCUCUUUUUUUUUUUAAUUGAUGGGUAACGAAUGGACAUCGACAAAAAGUGGACUUUGGACUUAUUGAUUUUCUGUUUAUUAAGCUUUGUAUCUGUCCAAAGUGGUGAUACGGACAAAGCUAAGAAGAUUAGGGAAGCCGCCAUCUUCACCAUCUCCUUCGUCGCUUGCGAUUCCCCUUCCGGCAAUCAGCUAUUAUGGUUGAUCUUUAAAGCUCUACGCACGUUUUGCGCCUACCAAACGUUUAGUUUCUCCUCUAACGCCUUCAGAGCUCUCAUAUAUAUGGAAUCCCUCGAGGUAAAAGCUCCAUCUUGUCUCAAACUUUUUUUUCUCAGUUUUCCGAUCGCUUUACUUUCUCAUAUCUGUCACGAAAAUGACUUAUCCAGCUGCUCCAGCCGCUUCAGCCGCCGUUCCCUACUCCACCUUCAACUCUCUCCGCCUUGGAAGGUCCACUCAGUCCAUUGUUGGUCGGCUCAUCCGAUUCUAGGAUUCCAGGAACAUUAACAAGAAUGGAGAGUUUAUGGGCAUCACCAUUCUCCUCCUUGAUGAACUGGUGAUGAUUGUUUCUAACUUAUUUUUUAUCACUUUAACUCUGCUUUGCUUAUUCUUUGUUCAUAUAUGAAACGUGUCUUCAUCUUUUUGUUUUGGUUUUGUCUAUGGGUUUUUUUAUGAACAACUAAUGAUUUUUCUCUGUUUUUCUUACAGGAUUCUGUGAUCUACGGUUUCAUCCCUGCAAUCUCCAAACAAAACAGGAAAACUGAAUGAAUUAUGUUUUUAGCAACCGAAUCUAAAAGAAAUAAAAGACAUCUUACUUAACAAAUUAAAACCUUUUCUUUUGCAGAUUCCGACGACGACGAAGCACCCGAGGACCAACGACAAUGGAAUGAUGCGGACGAAGCCUAACUGAUGUAAGUAAAAUCCUCUUCAAUAAUGCAUCACACUAUUAUCGCUCCCCAAUCUCACAAACUUAAGCUCUAAUCAUGCCAGGGAUCCCACAAUGUUUCUAACUUAUUUUUUAUCACUUUAACUCUGCUUUGCUUAUUCUUUGUUCAUAUAUGAAACGUGUCUUCAUCUUUUUGUUUUGGUUUUGUCUAUGGGUUUUUUUAUGAACAACUAAUGAUUUUUUUCUGUUUUUCUUACAAGAUUCUGUGAUCUACAGUUUCAUCCCUGCAAUCUCCAAACAAAACAGGAAAACUGAAUGAAUUAUGUUUUUAGCAACCGAAUCUAAAAGAAAUAAAAGACAUCUUACUUAACAAAUUAAAACCUUUUCUUUUGCAGAUUCCGACGACGACGAAGCACCCGAGGACCAACGACAAUGGAACGAUGCGGACGAAGCCUAACUGAUGUAAGUAAAAUCCUCUUCAAUAAUGCAUCACACUAUUAUCGCUCCCCAAUCUCACAAACUUAAGCUCUAAUCAUGCCAGGGAUCCCACAAGUGAUGCUGUCCUGACGACGGAGAAAAAAAAAGAAAGAUAACCUAACGUUUUUUUUAUUUUCAGUUUUUAAGUUCAAAUCAUGUUUUAGACAUAGAGCCCAACAUAAUUUGAACCCAAACAUUUUAAACCCACAAUUACUUUUUCAUAAUGUAAAAACGUCAACCUUCGUUUAUGUUUUGUUAAACUAUUUUAAUCUUUAUGUUUUGUUAAACUAUUUCAUACAGGGGGCAGAUCUCCUUAGAAGGAGAGCCACUCGCCACGAUGCUUCCAGUUUCACCAUUCUUGAAACUCUUAUGAACCACAAAGCCAAUAUAAGAGCUCUGUUUCAAUCCAAUGGCUGGAUUUUGUCAGAUACCACCGCUAAGCCUGAAGAGGGAAGAGAAGUGGAGUGCUGCGUUUUGGAAGAUGGUUACUUGGAGUUUACAAGAUGAAGAUGGAACCCGUGACGAGGAAGACGAGGAGAAGUGUUACUUGGAAUAUCCUAACUUGAGGAUGUAGACAAUGUGUGAUCAUAGCGAUGAAGAUUAGUGUAGCUUUAAUAUAUGCUACUACGGUCCUUGAGCUCCCUACCAAGUACUAGCAAACAAUGUAUUUUGAAAAAAUAAAAUAUUUUGUAAUGCAAGUAGUUUGAAAUUUCGAGUAUUUAUUCAAACAAUGGAUAUAUACAGAGUUGAUAACUUGAUAUGGACCCCCAAAUAAGUUGGUGUUGCGCUGUCACAAUAUCUGUCUUUUUAAUUUCAUAUACCUGACGUAAGCUUCUUCAUCUUCUUCUCUUUCCAUUUUCGUUGUUCCACGCUCUCUAUUUCAUGUUUAGGCUUUUUUUACAUUCUCUAUAUUUUACCUUAAUUAUACUUUUUGAAUUUUCCUUCCGUUUUGGGAGAUGUCUCUAACUUGAGUUAAUCGUCAAAAGCUAGGAUCAAUUUUGUUGUCUUACUUCCGAUAAAUUUUAUUUUUUAAUUUGCAUAAAUCUUAAACAACACCAACAUCCCGUAAAUCAUACCACCCCACCGAUAUUCAAAGUAACCAGCUCCGCGUUUGUGCGGGGUCUCAGCACCUAGUUUUAGCUAAAGAUUGGGUCUUAGUAAGUAUAUUGGAGUUUUCUACCCAAAACCUACACAGCCAGAAUUUCGGAUUUGGCUCGACUAAAUGUUAGUAGGAAUGUAAUACAAAGAUUUAAAAAGAUAGAACGCGGACUACCUAGGCUUCUCGGCAAAUAUAUAUAUAUAUAUAUAUAUAUAUAUAUAUAUAUAUUUUUUUUGUGGGUUCUCCAGUACCGCUAAGGCGCUAAGGUUACUUUCUUUGCUCGGUCCACUGAAAAAUGUAUUCUCUUCCUAAACCUGUUUCCAGCCUUAGUUGAUUCUCUUUUGUUUUGGUUUUUGCUUAACCUAAUAAUUUUUCUUUUUUUGUAUUCUCCAGUGUUUAAUUUAGAAUAACUUUUUCUAGAUCAUAUAUUUCGUGAAAUCUUAUCUUGAUAAACCUACUACAUAUGUUAUAUUUGGAUGUCGUACGUUCCCUUUGCUAGAGAUGAGAAUCAAAGAGGCUUGGUGAUAUAUCAUUUUGAAAUAUAAAUUGAAGAUUUAUGAGGUAAUAGAAAUUGCAAUAAGGAUAAGGUUUGUGAGUUCAAAACAAAAUUGAAAGCAUUGAUGAAGAGAGGAUUUUCGGGAAAUCUGAAAAUAAGGGUUCCGGUUUUUGAUGUUCGAAAUGAUAAUCUAUUUUAUUAGGACUUCUCCAAUAGUUUACCUUUUUUUCCUUCAAAAUGAGUUCGUAUUUUGUUAUAAUAAUUUCUCUCAUUUUCUCCUUUCAAAAGAAUAUUUAAAUCUGUUAUAUUAUUACUACAUAAUAUUAGUUCCAAAAUGUUUAUUAUUUUAUAAAAAUUACAAAUUUUACCCAAAUAGAAUUUAUUUAAACUAAAUCUUCAUUAUAUAGUAUAUACAUAUAAGUUUAAUUUCUAAAAAAAAUAUAAUAAUUUAUACUCCUUCCGAUUUUAAAUGAUGUAUGUUUUAGAGUUUUCACACAAAUUAAGAAAACAUAUCAUUAAAUGUAUAUUUUGUGAUUAGUUGUUUUCCAUACUUUAUAGCCAAUCAAGAUUCAGUAAAUACAAUUAAUGUCUUCGAAGUUUACAAUUUACCAUUAUCAUAUGUAUUGAAAAUGUGAAAUAUGUAUAUUUUAGAAACAAUUUUUUUUUCUUCUACAACAUGGAUUAUAUCGAAAAGUGAUUUUAUGUAUCCGGAUAGUAAAAUUUUAGAUCCGGUUAUCAGAAUUCAGAUCUAUGCCUAUUAUAUAUUUUUAAAAUAUUAAAAUAUAAUUGUGUUUAUAUAUGUAUCAUAUAUAUAUUAUAUAUAUAAAAUAACGAAAAUUUACAAAAUAAUUUUAAAUGGUAACUAAAUUAUUAAUUUUUUAGUUUUUAGUUUAAGUUAAAAAUUUUGAAAUUUUUUGGUCAAGGGUGUGCGGUUCGAAUCACUUGGGGCGCCAAAUAAUUUCUUUCGCUUUAGGCACUACAAAGUACUGAUAAGUCCCUUUUGUUUUUUUUUUUUUUUUUUUUUUUUUUUUUUUUUUUUAUACAUUCCAUAGCCCAUAGUAGUGCUUCCAUCUCCGCAUGUAGAGGAGAAAGGCUAGCCCGAACAUUCCUCGCCCCCAGCAACCCAGCGAAGCCUUCUAAAGUGCUGUGCCAACCCUGGCCGGAGAAAGUAUCUUUCUCUUUCCAGGAACCAUCUGUGAAACACCAUCGUCCUGGAUUUAACAGUGAAGACCUAAUCUCUUCCUGUGGGACCAUUCUCUGUUCAUUCACUAGUUGGGCUUCAGCCCAAAGGGUUGAUUCUGUUUCCGCCAAUUUGAGCGUAUCCCUAGGAUCAAUAUCCAGAUUACUAAAAACCUUACUAUUCCUUCCUUUCCAGAUAUACCAUAGUAUCCAUGCGAACUGAUGAUCAUCUAACUGCGGAAAGACUCUCCAGAAAAGAUGAUCCAUAUUUGCAAAAAGGGAUUGUGUGGGAAAUGUAGUUGGAUUUGAUGGUAUCUUUGAGAGAGCCCAAACCUGAAGUGCUGGAGGACAUUCGAAAAACACAUGAUUUAUCGAUUCCUCCUCAGCUCCGCAUCUUGUACAACAUAUAUCUCCAUUUAUCCCUCUCGCUUGUAAAUUUUUCUUAACCGCUAUACACCCUGUCACCAACUGCCAGAGAAAAUGUUUAAGCUUUGGUGGACACCUGACUUUCCAGCAGAAUGAUUUCAAACCAUCGACCGUAGGUCCAAAAAAUGCUGGUGGUUUUGCUCUAUCCGGGUAAACUCGUUCUACCUGAUAUCCCGAUUUAACCGUGUAUUUCCCAUUUGUUGUGAAAUGCCAUCCAUCUUUGUCCUCCAACUGAUAUCUACUCAGUCGUAUACUCUCGAUAAUUUUCACAUCCUGUGGAUCCACUAGAGCCUGAAGUGCCUGCGAGUUCCAAAUUCCCAAAGUGGGGUCUAUAAGAGAAGCCACUGUGAGGUCAGGGUAAAGAUUGUGUUGGUUUUUAUUUGCUGGUCUCGGGCGAGUGGUUGGGAGCCAAGGAUCAUUCCAUACAGAGAUAGAGUUCAGAUUACUAAAGACCUUGCUAUUCCUUCCUUUCCAGAUAUACCAUAGUAUCCAUGCGAACUGAUGAUCAUCUAAUUGCGGAAAGACUCUCCAAAAAAGAUGAUCCAUAUUUGCAAAAAGGGAUUGUGUGGGAAAUAUAGUUGGAUUUGAUGGUAUCUUUGAGAGAGCCCAAACCUGAAGUGCUGGAGGACAUUCGAAAAACACAUGAUUUAUCGAUUCCUCCUCAGCUCCGCAUCUUGUACAACAUAUAUCGCCAGUUAUCCCUCUCGCUUGUAAAUUUUUCUUAACCGCUAUACACCCUGUCACCAACUGCCAGAGAAAAUGUUUAAGCUUUGGUGGACACCUGACUUUCCAGCAGAAUGAUUUCAAACCAUCGACCGUAGGUCCAAAAAAUGCUGGUGGUUUUGCUCUAUCCGGGUAAACUCGUUCUACCUGAUAUCCCGAUUUAACCGUGUAUUUCCCAUUUGUUGUGAAAUGCCAUCCAUCUUUGUCCUCCAACUGAUAUCUACUCAGUCGUAUACUCUCGAUAAUUUUCACAUCCUGUGGAUCCACUAGAGCCUGAAGUGCCUGCGAAUAAUUUUCACAUCCUGUGGGUCCACUAGGGCCUGAAGUGCCUGCGAGUUCCAAAUUCCCAAAGUGGGGUCUAUAAGAGAAGCCACUGUGAGGUCAGGGUAAAGAUUGUGUUGGUUUUUAUUUGCUGGUCUCGGGCGAGUGGUUGGGAGCCAAGGAUCAUUCCAUACAGAGAUAGAAGAUCCUGAUCCCACCCGUUUGAUUAGUCCUUUGCUAACCAGAGAUCUAGCUGAUGUAAUACUCCGCCAUCCAUAUGACGGAGAGUAUGAGCGAAUCGGUUCCAGGGGUGAGGCAUUCCUAAAAUAUCGACCUUUAAAAACUCGAGAAAAUAAAGUAUUUGGCUUCUCGAUCAAUCGCCAAAACUGUUUACUAAGCAUCGCUGUAUUGAAAUCAGUGAUGUCUUUAAACCCCAGUCCUCCUUUUCCUUGCUAACGCAUGCUUUAUCCCAAGAUUUCCAAUGCAUACCUCUCGUACUUCCCCCGGGGCUCCACCAAAAUUGGGCUACCGCACCUGUCAGUUUCUUUACGGUUGCCUUAGGCAAUCGAUAGCAAGACAUCACAUGAUUUGGUAAUGCCGUAAUCACCGAUUUAAUAAUCACCUCUUUUCCUCCUUUUGUAAAGAACUUAAAAGUCCAACCAUUAACCCGUUUGUUUAGUCUAUCCUGCACAAAACUAAAAACCUGAACCUUUGAACCCCCAAGAUUUUCUGGUAAUCCUAGAUAAGUUCCCAUUCCUCCAUGAUUCUGAAUGCCCAGGAUGUCUCUCAUUUCCUGUCUGUUGGACUCUUCAAUUUUAUGUCCAAAUUGGAUCGAAGACUUCUCAAAAUUAAUGAGUUGACCUGACACCAUCUCAUAUUCCUUUAAGAUUCUGAGAAUAGUUUGACAUUCCUCUCUCUGGGCUUUGCAAAAGAAAAGACUAUCAUCCGCAAACAGUAGAUGUGAAAUGGAAGGACAUGCUCGAGCUACCUUCAUUCCUGUCAAUUGUUUCCCAUCCUCCGCCUUUUUAAUAUUUGCAAUCAAAGCCUCAGUGCACAAAAUAAAUAAAUAAGGAGAUAACGGAUCUCCUUGCCGUAACCCUCUAUUCGGAAUAAUAAGGCCUCUUGGUUGUCCAUUUAGUAAAACCCGAUAUUGAACCGAUGAUAUGCAUUCCAUCAUUAAUUUAACCCAAUGAAGAUCAAAACCCAUUUUCUCUAGUAAAGCUUUAAUAAAGUCCCAUUCCACUCUAUCAUACGCUUUGCUCAUAUCCGUUUUAAUUGCCAUAUAUUUUCCUUGACAUGAUUUGUUAGUCCGUAAUCCAUGAAACAUCUCCUGAGCUAUAAGAAUAUUAUCAGUUAUCAACCUCCCUGCCACGAAUGCCGAUUGCGUUUCCGAAAUAAGAGACGGCAGACAAAGUUUCAGCCGCUGGCACAGAACCUUCGAGAUAAUUUUAUACCCGACAUUACAUAGACUAAUGGGUCUCAAUUCCGUCAUCCUAGUAGGCCUCUCCGUCUUUGGGAUCAUACAUAUAUUAGUAAUAUUUAACCGUGGAUCCAAGUCCCCAGACACCAAAAAAUUAUUUACCAUUGUUACCAAAUCAUUCUUAAUGAUAUGCCAGGAAUGCUGGAAAAAAAGAGCCGUCAUACCAUCCGGUCCUGGCGCCUUCUCUGGAUGCAUCAUAAACAAAGCCUCUUUUACCUCACUCUCAGUCGCCACUCUCAACAAUCGUUGAUUCAUCUGAGGAGUGAUACCCGUUGUUACCUCUGAGAGAAAACUAUCAAAUCCUGUCGGCGAAGUGGUACUAAACAGCUCUUCAAAAUAGUCAACAGCCACCUUUUCCACUCCAAUAUCUUCUGUAAUCCAGUUCCCCGCAGCAUCAUGUAAGCCAACAAUCCUAUUCCGAACUCGUCGUUGCUUAGUUAAGGCAUGAUAGAACUUGGUAUUUAGAUCCCCCGAAGAGUACCACAUAUUCCUACUUUUCUGGUGCCAAUAAUCUUCUUCAUCCUUAUAAGCUUCUUGUAACUUUCUGGAGACCUCCACAAUAUCCUCCUGUGACCUAGCAUUAUCUGUCUGAACCUCCUCGAGGGCCUUUUGUAAAUCGCUUAUUUUCUCCUUGCCAUAAGGUGGAUUAUUUUUCCGCCAUUUUGCAAUUUCAUGUCGACAAUUGCUAAUUUUUGCUACUAUAUCAUCCUCACUACGAAUCCUAUCAUCUGACCAACCCGUCGUAAUGGAUUCCAGAAGCCCCUCUUGCCCUACCCAUCUCUUAUCAAACCGAAAUUGCCCUUUUCUUCUGUAAACUUUAUCGUCUAGAUACGCUACCACUGGUCGAUGAUCGGAUGCCACCAAACCUAGAUAUUCUGUGUAAGAACAGGGAAAUAGAGUAUGCCACUCCUCAUUUGCUAGAGCGCGAUCUAACCGACACCUUACAGUCACAGCCCCUUUUCCUUUUCCUCUUCUCCCCUGCCACGACAUUUUGUUCCCUCUAGCCGGAAAUUCCAGAAGUCCAGUAUUCCUUAUCAUGUUAUUAAAGGGGAUAAAAGAAUCCGCACUUCUCAAAGCUCCUCCAUCUUUUUCAUGAUUUCCCGUAAUCUCGUUUAAAUCACCAAUAAUAAACCAGGGUUCAGAUCUGGCAAUACCAUACCUAGUUAAUCUUUCCCACACUUGUUCCCUCAUUUGUUGAACCGGAUCUCCAUAAACAAAUGUGAGAAACACCUUUUUCCCCAAAGCCGCCGCCUCCACAUCUAUCAUUCGAUUACUUGAAUAGAGUAUAUUAACUUGAUACUCAUUAUUAUAGAAAAGUGCUAGACCACCACUCCUUCCAUUUGGUUCCACUGUAACCAGAUUAUCAAAACCCGAAUGUAAUUGAAAUCUGUGUACAAAGUCAUACUCCUGUUUGGUCUCUGAUAAAAAAAGAAAAUCUGGUUUAUGUUUGUGCCAUAUCUCUCGCAGAUAACUCAUUGUCCACUUACUUCCCAUUCCUCUACAAUUCCAACUUAGUGCUCUCAUUAAAAAAAUAUUAAGGAUUCGCACCCGUGGUUUGAAUAAUCAGGGAUAAGAAAACCCUGAAUUGCCCAUAUACCAAAAAUAUUCCCAAAAAACUUAUAAGCUAUCCCAUAAGUUCCGGCGUCUUUGCUUUUCCAUCUUAAGAUUUUUAUAUAUAGAAGAACCUGCAUUAUUGUUUCAAACCAUAAAAAUGGAGCUUGACAAAUCAGCAGGGAUGAGCUAAACCCAAAGACCCUCAGCCACGGAACCACCAACAGUGCCCGAAGACCAAAACUACCAAAAACAGAUCGUGUGGAAGUCUCAUAUUUAUUUAUACACUUUUUAUUUGCAUUCGAGAGCCCCUCCAAACCAGUGUACAUAUCAUUUCUUUUCAAAACUUUAUAAAGCAAGGCUAUAUAUAAAAGAGUAGCCCACCUGGUGGCAUAGCAAACCACCCCAAUGAUUCCCCAUUCCUUGUUCAUUAUCAACUUUCUCUGCCAGUUUCCAAGACCCGAGAAUUCACUCAACCAAUAAGCCGCAAGAAACCACCAAUCCUUUCCCACAUUGCAAUGCAACGAUGACAAACCAUCUUCACCAAACCGAAUAAAUACGCAUAACCGUAACCAUAACAAAAUAGUUUUAUUCCAACGUUCGACAAAAACCAAAAGGAGACGCACAAAGACUUCUUCCCGAACCCCAUAAGAACCAAAUAAACCAAACAUGCUCAUAACAUAAGAUAUAAUAAAUAAAGAAACAACCACAAAUACCCAUACUCUUAGGAUUUUUAUUGCAGACUCAUGAUCCAUAAACUUAGAAUUUCAGAUUAGCUGGUUUCGGGUUUGAAGGACCCUUGUUGUCCAGUUGCUUACUGCUAUCUCCCUGACGAGAGCCUCCUUUUGCUACAGAUCUUUUACGCGGAGAGAGAAGCACACUCGCCAUCCUCAUCUUAUUACUCCCAGCAGUGCUAAUAGUAGGCUUGAAAAAGCGCUUACGAGAGCUUUGCCUUGUCCCCAUAUCCCCUGCCCCCGUGUCAUCGUUGAGAGCCCCAUCACCAUUACCCAACUCCUCUCCCUCCUGUGCGUGAGAAUGCACCAUCUGAUCCCCAAUGGCUUGCUCCGCUUCUUCCUCCGAGAGGGUCUGAAACUCAUCCUCUGCCUCCAUAUCCAUACCAUUCUUCAGCAGAGUAGCAUUGAUAGCAUCCAUCUCCAUGUCAAUAUCUUUCAUAACAUCAUCUGUUAAUACAUCCGCCUUCCCCACCAUUCCUUGCACCUCAAGUAGACCUUUUUCCACGUCUGUAGCCUCCAUAAACCCUUCCGUGGCCUCCGUCUGUGUCUUAGCAAGCUCUAAUUGGAACUCUGCAGACGCCAAAUUCACAUCCUCGGUUUCGGUACUCCUAAUCUCUCCUUCUUCUCGAGUUUCCUGAGGUAAAGACCUCUGACUUUGCUCCUCUCGUACCUGCCCUGAGGACACUUUAGUGUGUACCGUAUAAGCCCCGCGUUCCCCCCCUGGACCACCCCUCCUCACAUCUCCUCUGCGCGCAUUGUUGUAACGAGAGCUCUCUCUGUCUCCUCUGUAGUUUCCAUAAUGAUUGGGAGGUCUCCUAGAUCCUCGUUCCGCAACCUUCACCCAUUUUGACUCUGAUUCCUCAUACAUCUUGCCCUUGCCCUUCCCAUAGUACUCCCUACUAUCUCUUUCCUUAUUUGGUGGGCCCAUAUUACCAUUUAUAACCACCCCUUUAUAGCUUCGAGCUCCAUCUUCAUGGCGCUUCCCAUCAGACCAAGCCCCAGCGCCUUCUCUGUUUUCUCUUUUCCGCUCUGGACUGACCUUUAAAUUCUUUACAUCAAGUGGGCAUAGCUCGUCCUUAUGACAGAGACUACCACAAAGCUUGCAGAAACCAAAAAGUUUCUCAUAACGCAAUGAUACCGCCGCUUCCUCACCAUCAUAGAACUCCCCUCCUUUAAAGUCCACGGUGGUUUCAAAACACAGCUCCUUAAAAGCAUCCACCACCACUUGAACCCUAUUAUGAACCGUAUCCACCGCAACCACCCGUCCCAACGCGCCUCCAAUACUCUCAAAAGUAGGGACCGUCCUGAACUCAAGCGGAAUCCCAAUGACUUUGAUCCAGAACAUGAUCUCCGAAGGGAAAGACCUAGACUGCUUUGGUUGCCACUUCGCCAAGGAGAGCAUCCAGAAGUCAAAGUGAUAAGGUUGGUGCUUCAAGACCCCUUCAAGGUCCUCUUCAGUCUUGAAAUCGAACUGGAACUUGCCAAAGCCCAAAUCAGUCCCCGUGACCUUCUCCUCCAAUUUCCAGAUCUUUGGAAGGUUUGUGAACAAAGCAUUCAUCUCUUGUUCAUCCGGAUUCAUACACCUCCCAAUCAAAGUUUUGGAGUAGGUUUUGAUUAGGGCCGAGUUGUCAAAAUGCGCCACCGAAAUCUUCAACCGCUUGCGAGUGCCCUCGCCAUUCCUCAGGUCCUCACCGUGACUCAAUAACUGACUCUGUGUCAUGGUCAGAACAAAAAGAAACAAACUUCGUGUUUUAAAAUCAAUGAAUGAGACAAUGAGGAUGAUACAACAGAGAGCCCCUCCUACAAUCCUAUUAUACUUAUUCGAAUUUUCCAUAAACUCCGUGAGAAGAUAUUCCCCCAUAAACCCGUAUCGCCACAGAUUGAUUCUUGCCAAUUUCAAAUCCCAACAGGAUCGUAAAAGCCAUACCCCGAAGAACCCAAAUUGAAAAUCUUGCGGAUCAAUUUCCAUGAAGAAAGCAAUUAAUAUAACAGAAUCCGUGAGAUAACCUGUGUAGAUCCGUGAUUCGAUCUGAGAAUUGAUCUGAAUCCACCACCAUAGAAACCCAAUCCAAAGUUUCCUCAAACGUCCGAUAAUCCCUUUGUCGAUACCCAAAUCCCUACCCAAUGUAACCAAAAAAAAAUCCUGAUUCCCCGAAUCAGAGAUGUAAUCUUGCCAGAUCGUAGCAAGGCAAGCUCCAACUCCAAUACCCGGAUCCCAUCUUCGUGAAGGCAUCGGUGCCCUAGAUCGCCGUCUUCAUCGCAAGAGCGUUUUCUUGUACAUAAAUAUCCCUUUUGUUUUUUUUUGUUUAAUGUGGAACUAGGUGAUUUUCCCGUGCUUAUGCACAGACAUAAAUAUUUAUAAAAUAAAUAUAAUAUAAUAAUUAAUUGAUAUUUAUUUUUAAUUUUAAAUUAAUUUAUAAUUUGUAUGUAUAAUUUAUAUUAAUUAUAUCAUAUUACUUUAAUUAAAUAUUUAUCUAAUUGGUUUUGUUGUUUUUACAAUCAAUUUAGUUGUCAUUUGGACAUAUUGGAUUCUGUCUAUUUAUUUGAAUUCAACUAUAAUAUUUAUUUUUUGUAAAUAUAAUAUGUUUAUUGCUAAAAUUAUUUUUAGUUUUUUUAAUAUCUCUUAAAAUAUGCAGUAAAAAUGUGAUUGUAUUUUAUAAAUUAUAUUAUAAAUAAAAUUUAUUUAUUUUCCCGUAAUUGUAAGAUAUUAUAGUAAAUAAAAUAUAUGAAAAACAUAAAAAAACAUUUCAAUAAUAAUAAUAAUUUUUUUUUGUCAAUUUAACCUAUAUAAGUUUAUGUUACUUAAUUAUUUUGUGUAAUCAUCUAAGAAAAUAUAUAGAUAUAUAUAAAAAAUUCAAUUACUUUGAAAAUAUAUAUUUGUAUUGUGUAAAAUUAUGUUUUAAAAGAAAAAUAUUUCUUUUUCUAAUAUCAAGAUCAUUUGUGUGAACUUUUUUUUUAUGAAAUCACAUUAUAUACAAAUAUAUUUUUUCAUCUAAGAAGAUGUAGAUAAAAAAAGUAUUUUAUUACUUCAAAAGUAUAUUUUUUGUUACUUAAAGAUAGCUUUUAAAUGGAAUAUUGCUAUUUUGUGAACUUUCAUUUUUUUAUGAAAUCAUAUUAUAUAUACAUAUAUUUUUCGUUUUUAAAUUAUUUUAUAAACUUUAUAAAUGUUUUCUUUUUAUUUAUAUUAUUAUUUGGAAAAUUUUAAAAAGUAAAAAAUAAUAUUUAAGUGUACUUUUUUAUUUCAUUAGAGGUAUCAUAGCUAGUAAUCAACCACCGUGAGAGUUAACGUAAGUGCGACACCUAGAAAAGUGACUUCUCAAAUAAUAUUAUAGAGAUUUUCUCUUAUUCAUGUUUUCUUAACGUUAUAAAAUUAUUAUAUUACUAUAAUCUAUACAAUACUAAAAGAGAUAUAUGAGCUCCAUUGAACCUAUCCACGUAGGAUAAAAAAUUCAAGCCAAUUAGAUUGUCUUAAGAUGCCAUGUCAGCUUAGUAAAAAAAAUCUAACUUUACGUUAUUCCUUCUUCUUCUUUGACGCCUUUCCAGUGUCUCGCCAGAUCUGGGUUUCUCUCGCCAAACCUUCGGCUACCGUUCUCCCAAAAGCCUCCCCGUAACGCCUAAUUUAUGGUUACCUUACUCUCAUCUCCACUUCAAUACAUUCUCAGUUUCUCUGUUCCAAUUCUCUUUUUGAAGGCGUUCGAUUUCUCACCAAACUGAAGCUAAAAAAAAUGGGGAUUUCCCAAUUAUACAUUUCUGACUUGGAGAUUGGUCGUUUUGAGGACGUGGUGGUGACACGUCUUCUUCAAUUCUAGGAGUCGGUACUCUGAAGAAAGGAGGCGAGGUUAUUGCUUGACAAGAAGGUACUGAUAAUCUAAAUUUAUUUAUAAAAACUUGAUUUAAGGAACACUUCAUUCGGUCUGCCUAAAAUUCCCACUGUUUUCAUUUGCAAUCGACGUUGAUACAAGGUACUAUCACCGCACAUCAACUCUACAGUUUUAAAAAUCUACUGAGUGAAAGUGCUGUGUACGAGCUUAGUGUGUUCUAUGUUGCUAGAAGCAAUAAUCACUUCAAACUGUGCGCCUCUCUCCUGUCUGUAUUUGAUUUACCGAGCAUAACAGCUUUGUCGAGGUUGUCGACCCGACGGCUGAAAAAAAAUCAGGUUUUGCAAGUAUGAGCAGCUAAUGGCUCUUGCUAACACCAACGUAGAUUUGCCCGGUAUGUAUUUAAUCUUAAUCUUACAAUAUCCACUUCCAUUAUACUACCUCAAUUUCGGGUGUAUAUUACAAUUAUGUACAUUUCAGAUAUUUUUCGUCAGGAUAGGAGUAUACACACCAUCUACAAUGACGAAAACGAGUCGAUACAGCGUGUUAUGGUCACAAUCCAGCUGGACAGGUACGUAGCCCCUACGCAAGCACCAUUAAGUUUUAAGUUUUAAAAGUUUUAUUUAACUUGAUAGAUGUUUCUUACUGAUAAACCCCAUCAACCUCUGCAGGUCAACCACUGUGUGUCGUGUGUUUGAUAAGGUUGCAUGACAAGUUAGUACUCUUGGAUGUGAGACAAAAGGUCAUGAUUGCAACCAACAUAAAUCCCAAAUUAUUUGUCUGUGCAUAUGUGAUUUACAAUAACAUGAACGCAUCAGUUUUCAUGCUCUCUUAAUCUGUUUGUGCAGGUCGCUUAGUCCUAAACGUCACAUUAGGGACACAGUUCUACUUUUAUCAUGAAAGCCAAGCCACUCAGUGUUUCUUAAAAGAGUCUGUUAUUUCUUUCUACAAUUAGUUACUACUUCACGAUUAUUACGGCGUUAGUUCACACAUUAAACAUACCAGAUGCAGGCUCUGCAGAGCAGAGAGUGGUUCCUCUGGUAUAUCUUCCAAAAUAUGGUGGUGUUAAGAAACUUGAAUAUGUAAGACUCUCUAAACUUAAUAUCUACAUUCUGAAUUCUCCCCUACAGGUACGUUCAAUGAAUAAGGAUCACUGUUAUUAUUGCAUUUAGCUCAGUUCUCAUGUGUACUGUCACAACAUGACCAAUUUACAUGUGUUGUUAUUUGUUUGGUUGUCUCUCCUUUUUCAUACCGCGCACAAUUAACCAAUCAAAAUGUCUCUUACUUGAAAAUAAGAGACUUUUUUGCUGCAUACUUUCUGCAUUUGCUCAUUUAUCUAGGCUUCACAUUUGAAAAAAAUAUUGUCAGCAACUGUGGAGUUUCUAAUAUAGCACCACACAAGUGAUGAUAUGUCUGUAGCUGUUAAACUUUCUAUGGUCCCAAAUCCAUUGGUGAAAAGCAGUUGUUCGUAUCACACAAACGGGCCAGAUGAUGUUCCAAUUAUUGAAGGAUGUCCAGCCAGCACUGACCCAGAGCCUGCACAUACUGAUUCAGUCCUGACCUCCACCGAGACUCCCAUUAAUGAUGAAAAAGCCCCAGUUCAAAGUAAGCUCGAAAUACUGAUCACUCCAACUAUGGAGACUUGGAAUUUGCAAAAUUCAAUUCAAUUGUUUGUUUCAAAAUUUUAUGUUUUCUUCAAUAAUGUUGUAAUCCACAUACUUUUACUUAGCACCAAAGUGUUUUUAUCUACUUAUCUUUGGCACAAUACCAUUUAAAUAGUUGAGUUUGUUAUGAGCAUUAUUUAAUUUGAAUUAUUUUUAAAUUAGUGGACGUCAUCUACCUUAACCUAACAAAAUAAUCUCCUGAUGUUUUUGGGUACAUACUACAUGGCCUCAUUUAGGUUGGUAAACCCUCGCAUUGGCUGUAAUUAUUUUAGUGGGCUUAACCACUUCAGAUUGCUAAGAUAAGUUAUCGCAAUGUUUUUUUUUUUAAAAAAAAAAAGCUUAAGUCAUCGCAAUGUUUAUGCGUAGUAAAAAUUUAAUCUUUUAUUGGUUACCAAACUUAAAUCUAGAGAAAAUUAAAAAUUUAUGGAAAACCACAAUAAAAGUUGAUCACCAGACGUAAAUUUAGAGAAAAUUAAAAAAAACAUUAAUGGAAAACACAAUAAAAAUAGUUAGGGAAACAGAAACAGCAUAUAAACCAAAUACAAAAAGAAAUUUAACUACAAAUAAAUAAUAUAAUCCAAAACCACAAAUUUCAAGAAUAUAUAGUGCAAUUUCAUAAAAGUGGAUAAUAGAAUUAUUCAUAUGCGAUAUACUUUUUACAAGGUCAUUAUAACCAAGAUCAACAAAACUAAGCCCUUUCUCAAAAAAAAAACUAAACUAAAAUAAAAACAAUUAAUCUGAUAGAUUUUUUUUUUUUAAAUCAUGAAACUCAAGUUAAGUGAAAUUAAUAAGAUAUUGAUACAAAAUCAUAAUGAAAAUUUAAUAGUUAAUCAAAAUAAGAUUUUUAAAAAAUUAUAGUUAAAAAAAUUACAUGUUUAGAGAAUAAUAUAAUAAAAUAUAUGUGGUACAUUAUUUUUUAUAGCAAAUGGUACGGUCAUCUAAUAAAGGAAAGUAUAUAUGUCGUAUAACUUUGUUGUUGUACAAAAUAAUGUGGUCUAAUAAAUAAAUCUAUUAUUAAAUGUUUGUUAGAGAAAUUUUGGGUCACUUAUUGUUAAUUAAAUAUUAUGGUAAGACCAAAAAUAUUGUUAGUUAAAGAAAGAGUUCAAACAACUUUUUUAAGUAGAUUUAUUAAAACUCCUUCCUUUUUAAUAGUAUUGAUACAUAAUAUAAUCCAAAACCACAAAUUUCAAGAAUAUAUAGUGCAAUUUCAUAAAAGUGGAUAAUAGAAUUAUUCAUAUGCGAUGUACUUUUUACAAGGUCAUUAUAACCAAGAUCAACAAAACUAAGCCCUUUCUCAAAAAAAAAACUAAACUAAAAUAAAAACAAUUAAUCUGAUAGAUAUUUUUUUUUAAAUCAUGAAACUCAAGUUAAGUGAAAUUAAUAAGAUAUUGAUACAAAAUCAUAAUGAAAAUUUAAUAGUUAAUUCAAACAAGAUUUUUAAAAAAUUAUAGUUAAAAAAAUGGAACAAGACUGAAAGUAAUACAAUAAAUACAAGAACAAAAAUGAAUAAAUAUCAUUUUAUGUAUAAACAAGAGCCUUUAGAUUAUUCUAUCCAAAUAAAUGGAGAAUUAUUUUUAAAAAAAGAUGUUAAGAUUUCCGAAAUUUUUUUUAACCUAAAUCCACAACUGCUAUAAAAAUAAAGUAUAGAGUUAUACAAUCCUAAACAAAGGAUAUGAUAUAAAAAAAUAUUAAUCAACUUAUUGGAAAAUAAUUUUUUUUUCCGCGCGAAACGCGGACCAACCUAGGCAAACUACAUGAACACCUUUCUCAAAAAAAAAACUACCGGAACCAAAAGGCAUCCACAAAAAUUGAUCUCUUAUUCAUGUUACGAAAAGUAUAUAUACAUGAGCUUGUGAACCUAAGGAAAUAUUCAAACGUAUCCUACCAUACAAAAUAUAAUAUCUAUGAAUAUAGGAAACAUGUAAUAACUAUAGGUAUUUACACAAUACUCCUCAAAAGAAAGCAUCCAAUUCCCCUAGAAAAUAGUAUGAUUUAGGGUUUCUAGAUUUUUAACUUUUGUUUCUACAGAAUACGAUAGUCAGUUCGACGACUAGAUUUCGCACAAAGUCAAAAACCAAGACAGAGUCAAGCUUUUACGCAAAGCCUUCUUAAAAACAGUUCGAUCAAACAAACCCUAGAAUACACUCCUCCCAUUUAAAUCUUUUCUUCGUCUUUUCAGUCCAGUCGAACAGAGAACAGAUUUUUUCUUCCUUGAAGAAAGUUAAGAUGUCUAAAUCAGAAGACAUGUGGUGGGAAUCGGGAGAGUUGAGUAAGAGGGAAAACUGAAAAGAGAAGCACUUGAAGUUGGUAAUACAUGGCCGGUUGUGUAGGAAAGUGGCAGGCAUUUUCUCCCUAGGAAACAGCCGAGAGAACGCGCACCACCCCCACCACAGACCCAACCCUAAUAUUUUACAGAACUUAUUUAGUCUAUUCAUUUCCCCACUCGACAGGAGGAGCUAGCCAAAUCGUUUUAAAGGUCUAAACAUGUUCAUAUCAUUCCUCUUAAAAUCAUAUGUUGACUGUGUAAACCAUUGAUAUUGCUAUGCUAGCUUGGUUCUUUUUUUUUAUCUAGACAUCUAACAAUAAGAGAGUAAAUACAUUUUUCACUGGUUAUUCAGAUGUUUAAUCGUGCAAACAUGUUUGCCCUUUUUUUUUUUUUGUAGUUUACUUAUAGAGAUGGAGACGAAUAGUACUGUAAGCAAUACAAAGCAAGAUAAAUCUUCUCAAGGCUCCAAUCCUCGUAGUAACCGGAAACAAGAUUUGACGUGGAACUAUGUUAGUGAAGCUGUUGAUUCAAAGGGGAAGAAAGUAACGGCAUGUAACUUCUGCGGAAAGCAAUACGUUGGAAUCAGCAGCAUGAAACAACAUUUGGCUGGUCUGAAUCAAAGUAAAACUGCAUGCAAGGAAGUUUCUUCAGAGGUUCGAGAUUCUAUCGUAAAAUCCAUGAAAGAAAAUAACAAAGAGAAGACGAAGGAGAAAAUUGUUGUGGAUCUUGAGAUGACAGACUAUGAAGUAAAGGAUGGUCAAAGUUCUCAACAAUCUUGCACUUCCCAAAGUAGAAAAAGAAAGGUUAGUAUCCACUUAACAUGUGUACCUUGGAUACAAAGUUGCACUGCUUUUGUCUAGUUAACUACAUAGUAGUACAAGUGUUAUAGUAUGUUUGGUCUUGUUUUGGUACAAGAGUGUCUCAUCAUCGUUUACUUCAACUCUCUUUAGAAUCCUCACUCUCUUUUGUUCCUCACCCUCUCACUCUCUUUCGCUCCUCACAUCACACGCAGAGAGAAGCUACACCAGGAAAAGAAAAGAUGGCUGAAUCAGCAAAGCAACACAUUGAUCGCAUUCGCAGGACUAAGUUUUCUAUCGGUGGAGACGAGAAUCCGUUGACGGAAGAUCUUCAUCAGGCUGUGAAGAAUCUCUCAGCUGAGCUCUAUGCCAAGGAUGUUCACUUCCUCAUGGAGCUUAUCCAAGUAAGCAUUCUGCUGGAUGUAGAAACCAUGUUUCUUUUUUUUUUUUUUUUUUUUUGUCAAAGGAGUUAAAUGUUUCUUUGGCUUCCAGAACGCUGAGGAUAAUGAGUACCCGGAAGGUGUGGAUCCAUCUCUUGAAUUUGUGAUUACAUCUGAUGACAUCACAGCCACUGGAGCUCCAGCGACUCUCCUUAUCUUCAACAACGAGAAGGGCUUUUCAGACAAGAACAUAGAGUCCAUUUGCAGUGUUGGAAGGUCCACCAAGAAAGGCAACCGAAAACGCGGUUACAUUGGAGAGAAAGGUACCAUAAGACCUCAAAUACAAAACUCAACUUUCAAAAGACCCUUGUCCUUACAUAUGUGUGUUCUGUUUCAAUCUUUGGCAGGAAUUGGAUUCAAGAGUGUGUUUCUGAUUACUUCUCAGCCUUAUAUUUUCAGCAACGGGUAUCAGAUUAGAUUCAACGAGGCACCUUGCAGCCACUGCAGCCUUGGUUACAUUGUUCCCGAGUGGGUUGACCAACAUCCUUCUCUUGUCGACAUACAAAGGAUCUACGGUUCAGGUUCUUCUCUUCCGACCACAACCAUCAUCUUACCACUAAAGAGUGACAAAGUAGACCCGGUGAAAGAACAGCUCUCUAAUGUUCACCCUGAGGUUCUCUUGUUCCUUUCCAAGAUCAAGAACCUAUCUAUCAGAGAACACUGCCAAGAUCCUAACCUCAGCACAGUGAACUCCAUCGGUAUCAUAACCGAGACGGAUUUCAUGACGAGGAAGAGCAUUGACGCUGAGUCUUACACAAUCCAUCUCUCUGCUAGUGAAACAGACACAGAGAAGCAAUGCAGUUACUACAUGUGGAGACAAAAGUUCCCAGUGAAAAACGAGAACCGUGUUGAAAGAAGAACCGAAGUCCAAGAUUGGGUGAUAACUUUAGCCUUUCCAUUAGGAGAGCGUCUAAGCCGUGGAAACACCUCUCCUGGCAUCUAUGCCUUUCUUCCUACGGAGAUGAUAACAAACUUCCCAUUCAUCAUCCAAGCAGAUUUCAUCCUUGCGUCAUCAAGAGAAAUUAUACUACUUGAUGAUAUAUGGAACCAAGGGAUUCUCAGCUGUGUUCCGUUAGCUUUUGUGAACGCAUUCACCACCUUGGUGAAAAAGACCGAUGCUCCUAUCUCUAGCUUGCUGUCUACUUUUAGGUUCUUGCCUGUAACACAAUCUAGCUACGCUAAGCUAAACAUUGUUAGAGAUUCCAUCAGGGAGAGAAUCUGCGCUGAGGAGAUUGUGCCGAGCGUGUCACAUUUAGGACAGAAGUUCUUUCACAAACCAUGUGAAGUUGGUCGGCUCAUCCCUGCUUUUUCGGACAUCUUGGAGAAAGCGAGGAGAGAAGGCGCAGGGUUAAAGAACAUAUCAUCACAUGGAGUCUACAUUUUGGAUUCUUCUUUUGACAAAAAAGAGAAUGACUCCGUUCUAGACUUCUUGUCUUUGAGAGAAGUCAGCAACGAAUGGUACUCAAAAUGCAUUCAAGGGUGUGAUCUCGUGACAAGUGUGUCAGAAAGCACCUACGUGGAGAUCCUUCUCUUCGUAGCUCAGAACUGGGAGCCAAGAUUCAAGAACACAAACAUGGUUAAGGUUCCUCUUAUCAAGUACCACGUUCAGAAGGGAGCGAGUCUUCUUAGCAGCUUGGAAGAUCUCAGUCCUCGGACGUUAUGUCUCGUUGCAGAGAAGAAUCACUCGUGGUUACUCGAUUGGAACGGUGAGUUUAGAUGCAUGUCUGAUUAUGUUUUUCUGCCACAAGCAACAAAGAAAGCGUUGAAUGCAUCACGCUCUACUAAUAUGGAAGUAAUACGUAACUGGCUUGGAGAGAAGAUUACUUUGAUGGAUCUUAGUGUCUCUCUAUACGCACAAUGUCUCUUGCGUAGUCUUAAGAAAGACAACAGGCUUGUGGUGGCAUACGCACACUUUCUGCAUCACUCAAUCACCAAGGGGUUUCUAUCAGAUGAGGAGGCUAAGAAAUGUUGCGAAGAGAUGCCGCUUGUGGACAACUAUGGGAAUGUUAAGACGAGUACCUUCGGUGUUCUUGUUCCUGCUAGUGCAGGUAAAUGGGUUAGCUUAAUAACCGGGUCGAAUCCUUGGAGGCAGGACGGUUAUAUAGAGCUUUGGGAAGAGUAUAUGACGUCUGGUAUGUUCGCCGGUGUUCGGUCUAAACAGAGAGAGCUUCUUGGGUUCUUGAAAGAAUAUGCUAAAGCUGGAGAUGUACCUGAAGUAGCACCACCGAAUGCUGCUCUACCUGCCUUGUCUGGAGCUCUUCAGAAACAGAAUGUUUUUCUUCUUUUGGAGUGGAUUAAUAGUCAUAGAAACUCUCUUCCUCCAAAGUUUAUUGAUUCAGUUAAAGGAGGAAGCUGGCUGAGAACUAAGAUGAAUGGAAGCUAUGAUUAUCGCCCGCCUUGUCAGUCUUUUUACCAUACUGCAUCAUGGGGAGGCGUUCUGAAGAAGGGAUCAGUUCUUGUGGAUGUUCCACUUGUUGAUAGGAGCUUCUACGGUAAGAAGAUUGAGAGCUACACAGAGGAGCUGAAAACUGCUGGUGUUAUGUUUGAGUUUAGUGAAGCAUGUGCGUUUGUUGGUGACCACCUCAUGAGUUUAGCUGGGACCUCCUCGCUGUCAAGAGAGAAUGUGUUUUCUAUUCUUAAGUUCAUCAGAAACUUGAGAGAGAAGCUCCUCUCACCUGAUGAUUUCGUCACAUCCAUCAAAGGCCGCCCUUGGCUGAAGACAAGUUCAGGUGACAGAUCUCCAGAGGGAGCUGUUCUGUUCAGUGAAGAGUGGAAAGCUGCCUCUCUGAUAAGUGAGAUUCCGUUUGUUGAUGGAGACGUCUACGGUGAAUCUGAGAUCAGUGGGUUCAAGGAAGAGCUGAAGCUGCUAGGGGUUGUGGUUGAGUUUCCUAACAAUCACGGUCUCAUAGUCUCUCAUUUGAAGCCUGAAAAGCUGAACUAUCUUACAGCAGAUGCAAUGAUCUUACUACUUGAGUGCAUGCGUAACCUGACUUCUCAGCAUCUGGUUGAUUCCUUAAGAAGCUCUCAGUGCCUGAAGACAAAAGGAGGCUACAAGUCACCUGCUGAAUGUUUCAUAUCUGAUCCUGACCAGACUUUCUUUCUGACAGUCUUUGAUGAUGUCUUCCCUUUAGUCGAUGAUAGUUUCUAUGGAAGCAGAAUCAGUUCCUACAAAAAGGAGCUAGAGCAGAUUGGUGUUGUGGUUCAGGUUGAAGAAGCUGUGAAAGCGUUUGUGAGAACAUUCAAGCAGAAAGCUACCUCAACUUCUCUAACACGAGAGAACGCUUUGUCACUUCUGUCUUUCUACAAGAAAAUGAUGGGAAGUGAUCACAAGUUUCCUGAAGAAGUUAUGAAAAGCUACACAGAGUUACAAUGGCUGCAAACAACACUCGGCGACUUCCGCGCACCAAAGGAGUGCAUUCUCUUUUGUUCAGAGUGGGAGCCUCUCCGUCUUAUAGCCAAUCUCCCCUUUAUAGAUGAUACCACAAAGUGGUACGGCAAGAGUAUACACAGCUACAAGAAAGAGCUAAGGAGCUUAGGAGUCACUGUUGAGCUGAAACAAGGCGUGAACCAUUUGGUUAGCUCUUUAAGUCUCCCUGAUGAGUCUAGUAGCAUCACUCCUUCAAGUGUUCUGUCUCUUCUUGAGUGCGUCACGUUCUUGAUUGAGGAUGGUAGAAAACUCACUCAGGAGUUUCUAGACAAGGUCUCUGUCAGAUGGUUGAAGACACAAGCUGGUUACAACAGUCCUAAAGAGUGUCUUUGGUUUGAUAAAAGCUGGGAACUAGAGCCUUGUGAUGGUCCCUUCAUCGAUGAAAAGUAUUAUGGCUCUAAGCUUAAGUCUUUCAAGAGAGAGCUUAUUGAGGUUGGAGUUGUUGACGAUCCAGACAAAGCUAGCCAGUUGCUUGCUACACACGUUUAUACUCAUUCUGAUUCUGAUGCAGUUUCCCGGAUAUAUAGAUUUCUCAGUAAAACUGAAUGGAAACAAGAGAAAGACUCGUCGUCUUCUUCAGGCAGGAUUUGGAUUCCGAGAGAUGAGAAAUGGGCAGAUGUUUCUAGCUGCGUGGUCAGUGAUAAAGACAAGCUCUUUGGAUCACACCUAAACGUUCUUGAAAACCAUUACAAGAGUUAUGACCUUCUUGUCUUCUUCUCAUCUGCAUUUAACGUGAGAAUAACGCCAUCUGUUGAAGAUUACUGUGCUUUGUGGAAAGACUGGGAGAGAACAAAGGAAAGAUUGUCAAACCACGAGUGCUGUGCGUUCUGGAGCUUCCUUGUGCGACACGGUAUAUCUGAGGACUUACUCUCUGAAUCCUUCUCUCGUUUGCCAGUUAAGACAACAGAUAGCAGCAAUGAUGAAGAAGGAAUCUUGUUGUCUAGCAAAAGCGACGUGUUCAUAGCUGAUGACUUGCUCUUGAAGGAUCUUUUCAUUGACUCCCCUGUUUUUGUAUGGUACCCAACUCCAAGCAACCCUAGAUUGUCACAAACUAAGCUUAUGGAGCUUUACAGGAAAAUAGGAGUCAAAGACAUCUCUAAAUGCGUGGAGACUGCAGAAGCUAAGUUAACCGACCGAACCAAAGUCAAGAAGCAAGAGAAGAGUCUGAUCGGACCAGGGCUAGUGAGGCUGGUUCUAGGGUUUCUAUCUGAUCCAUCUCUUGAGAUAGAAGCUGAGGAACGUUCAAGAAUCAUAGAAAGUCUUGUUAGCCUCAGUGUUCUCCAAACUCCGGAGACGAUCUCAACGGAUUACACGCUGACACUACCGUCAAAGGGAGAGAAGCUGGUGGCAAAAGCUAAGAAGGUGAUGAGGUGGGAGAGAGAGGAAGGAGUUGUGUAUGCAGAGAAGAUGAAGAAAAGUUGCGGGAAAAGAAAGGUUUUGGAGCACGCCACGUGUUUCGCUGAGGUGAUUGCUAAGGGAGUGAUGAGUGGUAGAGAAGAUCUUAUUGAAAGGCUAUCAGAGCUAGUGAAGAUGGCUUACUUGGUUGAGUUUGACGAAGAGGCGUUAGAGUUUCUUAUGAAGUCCAAGAACCUUGAGGUCUAUGAAGAAGAUGAGAAGCUAAUCUCAGAUGCCUUCUCCCUCAAGUAAAACUAUUGUCAGAUGCUUUCUUGUUUGGUCCAAACUCCAAACAGUCAUUUUAAGAGCUUUUUUUCUUCAAAUUAAAACAUUUACUUUACACAAACUCGUUACAAUGAGGUAAACAAACCUGAAUGAAUCACAAUCUUGUUUGAUCUUCUUCAACCUUUUUAAAUAUAGUGUAAUUUGCUUAAACCGGACACUAUAACCGUCCUAUACCAGUACCGGUUCUGCUUCUAACUGUUGCUGCAUCAGAUAGUAAAUCUCUGGAAGCAUCAAUGCCUGAAGACUCAACAUCUCUGGUUCUUAAAUCUUCGUUAACACGGCCUGAUAACUCCCAGCUACCUCCUCUCCUUCCCCUGCUAGACUCUCUGGAAUGCAUAAUCCCACGUCCUUCGGUCUCUUCUGGUGGAAGCAUUCUGCUCAAAUCCCGCGAUGUAACCGAUGUCUCCAUGUCCUUGUCCAUGUCACCGAGCUCUUCAUCCACUGUCUCGUGCCACACCGGUUUUCUCCCCAUCUCUAUAUCCUGGGAAACUUUCUGCAAGCUCGGGCUCGACAUGGCUCCGUUAACUAUCCGUGGUGGGAUCACUGGCUCCUUCGAUACCUUUGCUCUGAAACUGUUCUUAGAUGAAGCAACGCUUGUGCAGAACACCUCCAUGAAGUUCCCAAGUAUCCCCUUGUUGAAAGGGUUCUCGUGUCUAUCAUAACGAUACCUAAAGUUUUCGUAAGUCGACUGCAAUAACAUGAAACAACAGUUAACAAGCAGCUUACUUUAUCCAACGGUCUCAGCGUGUGUAUAGUGAAGCAAGGGGGCUUACUUGAUUGGUGCUCAUUAGGUACAAGUGGAAACCAGUAAGGCCACCAACGAACCAGACGCAGAUGAAAGUGUAGAUUAUAAGCGCGAUGGAAGCAGGUGUCUUGAUUAGCGACUUCCAGAUGCUUAUCUUCUCACCAUCCAUUAUGCGUUUAACGUAUAUCCAGCAAAAGACAUGGACAUAAACGCAGAGAAGAGCCGAGCAUAAUAUAAACAUGAAGUAGAACCUGUAGUUUCUCUGCAUUUAAAAAAAAAGAAAACUGUUUAGUGUCUCUUGAAAUGAUUAAAAAAAAAAAGAGGAAACAAAGGAUUCAUUUACCAAUCCAAUGCAUUGACCAAGCCAAGGACAGUGGUGAUCAAAUUUCUCAACGCAGUUGUUGCAUAUGGAGCAGUGAGAAGCGCGGGGAGGUCUGUAAAGCAUGCACGUGUCACAGUAUUUGAUCUUCACAGUGAUUCCAUUAACAAUCAUGUCUUUUGUCCGAGGCAACCGGCUCUGAGUAGGAGUAUGAGCAAGGCGCGGUUCUCCACCAAUCUCAAUACCUUCAGGUUCAGGAGGAUAUAGAUUACGAGGUAUGAUUCCUGGGUCUCUCCCCGAGGUUACAAGAAGAAAUAUAAGAUCCUGUGGAGACACACAUAAAGAUGGAAACUUAUCAUCAAGAUGCAUGUGUGUAAGCAGUAGCAGAAGAGGGAAGAAACGUCGUUCAACUCACUAAUAAGUUGAGACCAAUGGCGACGGCUAAUACAGAUACUCCUCUGUGGUGAGGGAAGUCAUCAACAAAUUUUCUGCCGACGAAAACACAGAAGAUAAUGACAGGAGCUGUAAUCAAGAAGAUGGUGAUGAGUAUGGAUCGAGCAUCGGGCCCAAACACGAGCCUUCCUCCAAAGAAGAACACCUGGAGAAACAAAACACGAUUCAUUAAAGAUAAGUAAAAUAUCAACAGUGUUACAAUCUGAUAAAACUUAUAUGUAAACCAAAAGGGUAAGCCAAGUAGGAAUUCAAAUUCAAGAUUAAGAGCAAAAGGAUAACUUUUCUGGGAAAAGUCAAACAUAAAGUUGUAAACUUGCUCAAGAAUGAAGGGACCCAGAAGACAGAAAGAAGAUAGUGAUAAACUUCAGGGUAAGGAUUUGGAUUCAGAUCUAAGAUAAAGUCCUUAAAUCUGCUGACCAAGAAAGCAAAGAGAUAAAAGAGAAAAGCUCACGUUAUUGCCUUUCCAACCCUUAUACGUUCUGAUCAUCUCAUCUCCGCCGCCGCCGCCGCUUGAACUCGGAGCUCCCGGACGACGAUCUGACGGCUGCAACUCUAACAUCGGAAGCCAGAAAAAGUCUCCUUUUCUUUUUUGGGGGUUACAAAUGGCGUUUGUUUGUUUGAAAAAUGAAAUAAUUAUUGAGAGAGAAAUGAGAGGACUCUGCUUGGUCGUCCCUUAAGUCACCUUUCCCUUUUUACCAGUCAACUAAUUUCAAUCAAUCCCGUUUUAAUUAGUAGUAAUAUUACUUUAUUGCGAUGUUUUGCUUUUUCUUUGUCGGCUAAUGGAUUUGUUUUUGUUUCUGUUACAAAUUAACGGCUGUGUUAUAAUUUUUAUUAAAUCAUUGAGUAAAUACUAAUGGAUAAUUAUAUUCAGAUACAUCAAAAAUAUUCAUUUUGAUCUCUCAAUUUUAAAUGAUUUAACUAUUUAUUUUGUUUUUGUUUUUCUUUUUGUCGGCUAAUGUGAAUUAUUCAAGGCAGCUGACAUAAAAAUAAUAUUCACCUUGAUCUCUAAAUUUUAAAUAUUUAAUAUAUUAAAUAAUUAUUCCUAAAUCAUAUAGAUAGAUAAAAUAUUUACCUUUAAACUAUAAUUGUUUCAAAAAUUGUAAAUUGCAAGAUCGUUUCUAAUUAUAGUGAAAAUAAAUUGGAUAGUUGAAUCAAUCGUUCUUAAUUUUUUGUAAGCUACAAUGUGCAUGUGGAUUAGAUACUGAAUGGUAAACAUAAUUAUAGAACAACUUGCACCUGUCUACAAAGGUAUCUUUGUAUAUCGUAGUUGCUGAUUGAUUAAUUAUCACCACUUAUUAUGUCAACAUUUGGAUGCUUAUCAGACUAUGUAUGAUCUGUCAUCUUUCAUUUUAAUUUCUAUUGAAUUCACAUUUUAAUCCAAUACGUGUUGAAGAGUUCUCGUCAAUUUUGGUCUCUUUUGUUGGACCCUCUUCUUGUUGAGUUUUAACUAAAAACAAAACAAAACGAAAAGCUACUCUUUUGUACCAAUUCAAAAGAACAAAAAUGCAAUAUUGUGAAAAAGUAUAUUGUAUUUGUUUGAAAUAUCUCUUUCAAAUCAUGUGGGAUCAAAAUCUAUAUAUAAAACUAAAAUGACGCAGACAACCCAUUUCCCCUGUAUUUUCUCUGGUCUUCACGCUGGCCAUAAGCCAUGAACUUUCAUUAGCCGGCCUACUCGAAAAACAAUUCUUAAAGUAUUUUAAAAUUCUAUAGUUUACAAUUUCUCUAGUUUUUUUUUUACUCGAAGAUAUUAAAAGUAGAGUUUUGCAAUUUAUGGAAAAGCAAAAAAUUACACGGAGACAUACUUUUCUAUUGUCCGUUAACAUCUACACAUAUUUUAUACUUGUCAAAUAUUUUCAUUGAAUAAAUUGACCAAAAAUCUUUUCUAACUUAAACCAUAAAAAUUAUUUUGAUAUUAGUACUUACCCAUCGAAUUUUGAAAAGCGCAGACGGCUGAGUUUCUCUUUAACCUAUAACUAGAAUUUGAUCCGCGUCUUCGCACGGGUGCUUAAUUUAAUUUGUGUUUAACAUAAAAUCAUAAACCAUUGGUUUAAUAAAAAAAAUUUCAUACAUAUAGAAUAGUAUAUAUUAUUUAAUAAUAUAGAUGUUUGAUAAUAAUUUUUUUUAAUUUAUACAUAAUAUUAUAUUAUUUUUUAUAACUUAAUGCAAUUUGAUGUAAUUGUACUAUUCAUAUAUUGAUAUGUUGUUUUUUUGUGAAUUUAUUUUCAAAAGAAAAAACAUACCUAAAAUUUUAAUUUUUGCAUUAGUUUUCUAUGAAUUAUCUUUAAUUUUAUGAUAUUUUAUUUUCUUGAAAAUUGAACUCUCGAAUUUUUUAUAUUUGAUUAAACUAAAUAAAGUAAUGCUAUAUUUAAAAUUCUUUUAUAUAAUAUAUACUAUAUAUUUCAGUUGUGUUUUUAUUUUCACUAUGAAGAAACAACAACUAUUGUUAUUAAUUAAUUUAAAUUGAUUUUAAAUGUAGUUGCAGAAUCUGUAAAUAAAAAAAAUACAAAAAGGAAAUAUGUCAUUUAUUAUAAAUGCAAUGAUUAAAUAUGUAAAUGUUGUUUUUUUGUGAAUUUAUUUUCAAAAGAAAAAACAUACCUAAAAUUUGAUAUAAUAUUAUAUAAUAACUUUUAAUUCAUAUACUAUUUAAAAAAGAAAACUAUGAAAUUUUAAUAGUUCAAAUCAAAUUUUAAUUAUAAUUUUUUCUUAAUUAUAACAAAAUCUGUUGAGAAAAUUUAGAAAAUAUCACCAAAAUUUAAAUAUUUUUUUUUAUAAAAUAAUGUAUUUUUAUAUUUGAUUAAACUAAAUAAAUUAAUGAUAUAUUUAAAAUUCUUUUAUAUAAUAUAUACUAUAUAUUUCAGUUGUGUUUUUAUUUUCACUAUGAAGAAACAACAACUAUUGUUAUUAAUUAAUUUAAAUUGAUUUUAAAUGUAGUUGCAGAAUCUGUAAAUAAAAAAAAUACAAAAAGGAAAUAUGUCAUUUAUUAUAAAUGCAAUGAUUAAAUAUGUAAAUAAAAGAAAGUAAUAAAUCUGCUAUCUAUGUUUCCAAACAAUUAUCAUUUAUUUUUUUAUCCUUAUUUCCAAACAGUAUUAAAGGUAUCUAAUCUAUUAAUUUAGACUUCUAUUUUUAUCUACCAUUAGCAAGUCAUAGUAGGACCACCUAAAGAAAUAGUUAAUAAAACAUAUUUGAUUAUUUACAUUAAUAAUAAACCAACUAUAAAUUUGAAUUUUAUUUUUUAAUUAUAACAAAAUCUGUUGAGAAAGAAUCUAACAAAAUCUUACUUAAAAUUUAAAUAUUUUUAUAAAAUAACAUAUUUAUUAAUUUCGUAAUUAAUAAUAUAAUAUUGUUAUAAAUCAAUGUUAACUAAAAUUUUAUUAUAAAAAAAAAAAGAAAAUAAAAAUUAUAUACUUUUUUUAAUAAAUUAUAUAAUUAGAUUAUGUAUUAUAUAAAAAUAGAAGUUCUAUAAGAGUUAAAUAUGAUAAAAUUUUUAUUAAAUAGGUAAAUUAAAAAAGUUUAUUUUUUUAUUAUUUCAUUUAAAUAAGUUAUCACUCAUCAUUAAAAUGAGUUAAAAAUCGUAUACUAUAUAAUAUUUUUAUACAAAUAUAAAUUUAUUAAGAUAUUUUAAACUUUUAUAUCUACAACUAUAUAUUAUCUUUUAUUUAUUUUGAAACUCUUGACAAUAUUUUUUUAAAAUGUUUAUAUACAAUGAUAUAAUAUUAUAUAAUAACUUUUAAUUCAUAUACUAUUUAAAAAAGAAAACUAUGAAAUUUUAAUAGUUCAAAUCAAAUUUUAAUUAUAAUUUUUUCUUAAUUAUAACAAAAUCUGUUGAGAAAAUUUAGAAAAUAUCACCAAAAUUUAAAUAUUUUUUAUUAUAAAAUAAUGUAUUAAUAUAGUAACAAAAACAAAUUCAAAAUGUAAUCUUCCAAACUCAAAUAUAGUACUGUAAUUUUUCAAAGUUUACUUGACAAAAUAUAAAUUUUGAAAAUAAAUAUUCAAACUCGACAUGAUAAUAUUUCAAAUUUUACAAAAUAUUAAAUCACAGAUAAUAAAUAAUAACUUUUUGAAAUGCACCACGGAAAAAAACAAAUUAUAUAUGUUGUAAAAAUUAAAGCAACCGAAUAUUUUGAAAAUAUAAUUUAAAAAUAAAACUUAAUAUCAUAGCAUCCAAAAAAUAUCUUAUAUCAAUAAAAUUUAGUAAAAUAAUAUCAUAGAUGCUACUAUGUAUAAAAUUUAUUAAAAUAACAGGCUAUAAUAUUUAAACAAUUUUUUUUACUUAAAUUCUGUAAUAUACUAAAACAAUAUAUAUUAAAGUAUAUUUUUUUAAACGGAGCAGGCAAAUAUAAAUUAUCUUGAACAUAUUUAUUUUCUAUAAUAUAAAUUUUAAAUUUUUAAAAUGUAUUAUAACAAAAUGUAUAAAUUAAGGAAAAAAAAUAUUUUGAAGGAGGUUUUCUAUUUGAUUAUUUCAUAUUGUUAUUUUAUUGUAUCUAACUCAAAAAAUAUAUUAGUAAGAAAUAAGCAUUAAUAACAAAGUAAAAUGUAUUAAAAAUCACUAUAUAUGAAUAAUUCUGAAUAAAAAAUAUAAACAAUAAUAUUAUUGAGUUACAUAAUAUAUAAUACUAAAAUGAAAAUUUUAUAUUUAAAACAUUUGUAAUAAUAUCUAAUGCAUUUAUAAAAUAAAAAAAUAUCCGCACGAACGUGCGGGUUAAAAUCUAGUUUCAGUUUUAAUAAUAUAGAUUAACCAUCAAAUGACACAUUCACUCACUCUUUCUUUUCAGCCAAAAUUUGAAGGUCUCUAUCCCAUUGCAUAUGGUUACGCCGGUAAAGGCGGAAGCGGCAGUAGAGGAGGUGGAGGAUUGGUUACGGUGGUUGAGGUCAAGCUAGUGGUAGGGGCGGGCAGUCAUGGAGGUAGUGAAGGAUCAGGAGGUGGAGGGUUUUAUAGUGGUGGUUCUUACGGAAGUAGUGAAGGAGGAGGAGCUGGAGCUGGAUGAGGAGAUGAUAAAUCACGAGGAGAGGAGUAGACUCUUACAAGUCAUGGAUGGUUGCAGUUAUAAGGCGGCAGCUCAAAGGCCAUUUUUUUAACACUUGUUGCUUUGGUUGGGCGUGAAAAAAGGUCUUUUGACUUGGAUUGGGAGCUUAAGAACAUGAUGGUAAAAAACCGUCGACAACCUAAUGUGGUUAAUUUUAUUACUUUCAUCCAUGAGAUUUGUAAAGGUGUGAAGUUACAAGAGGCUAAUAAUUUUUUUGACGAGAUCAAAGCAAGAGACAUGGCUCCCAAUAAUGUCACUUAUAAGACUUUGAUUAAUGGGUAGCCAACUAUUCUAAACUCAGCACACCCUCUGCAGUUCAUCUCUUCUAUCAUCAAUUGAUAGUUUACGAAUAACUAAUUUUAAAAAACAAUAAUCCAUAAUCUCCAACACAGAUUUUAUAUCGUUUUUAAUAUGUAGCAUUACGUACAGACUAAUAUUUUCGCAAAUGACUUACUCUCUAUUAUUAUGUGUUUUGUGAAUAUUAAGAAAGUAUAUUAUAAUUUAAUUAUGAACGUUAUUUAUAUUAAUUAUUUUGAAUAAAUUUAAAAUAAUAUUAAUCAAUAAAUUUGAAUAACUUUUCGUUUAAAUCUAUUAAUAAUAAAUAAUAAAAAUAUUUAACCUAUUUUUUAAAAAUAUUUAUCUUUUUAAAUAGGAGAUAGUCCAGAGCAGAUGAAUUCAUUUUCUUGUAAUUAUCAAGAGCAUUAAGUUUAAUACUUUAAGGAAUUUUUCUUUCUCAAUGGUUGGUGCUCGAAAAGUUUGAUAGUGCUGUGAAGUUUGAUAGUCAAGCUUGGCAUCAGGUCUUCCCUUUUGAAACAAAUUAUAGGUGACUAGUUUUGUUUAUGUCGUAAUUUGUGGUUUUUGGUGUGUUCUUUUGGUUUGCUUUGUGGAUUUGAGACUUUGACGGUUUGAGAUUUUUGGAGUUUCUGUUUUCUAGUGUGCGGUGCAGGAUAGCUCUGAUGUGGGUACCUACUUCUUCUGUCAGAUUUGGUGAAGCGGGUUCAGGUGGGUUUGCGAUUAUUCUGUAUUUUUGGCUCUUUUUUCUUUGUUCAAUGGUCGUCUUUGUCGAAGGUCAUAUAAACUAUGGCUAGUGGUUAAGCUCUAGUUUGUAAAUAUUUUUUUGUUAAUUUAUGGAGUUUGAUGGUCUUGAGGCAGUAUUGUAUGGUGGCUUCUUAGUGUGUUGGGUUUGGGUCUCCAAACUUUACUCUAAGGACCGACAAACGUCUAAUCUUUUCCAUGUUUGUCUUUAGUAAGGUUUUGGUAUUCAAACCUUGGGUUUACUGAUGAAUGAUUGAGUGUGAAGCUUUGAUUUUGUGAUGUCGUGCCGUUCAUUGAGUUUAAAUCGAUAGGUUUCUUUGGAUCUCUGAUAAGGAAAUGUGGAGCUUUAUUUACCUCAAUUUUAUUUGAUCUAUGAAUAGUUCAAUUGUCAACCGUGUUCUCCGUCAGCUGCUCGAGAGGAAAUUUGUUUUCUCAUUUUUUUUUUUGUUCUUAAGUGGCAUUUACUUGUGGUUCUCUGUCGAAUCAUAUCUUGGACCUUUUUACACUACAAGAAAAAUGGGUUUUAAUAGCAUACCAGAAUAGCGUUUUUUCGAUUGUGCUAUGGUAGGUAUACUCGUGUUUUAAAGAUAGCGGUUGUAUAUUUCCAAACGUUAUGUUAUAGUUUCGAGUUGAAAAAUCAUAAUUUAAGCGUAUGUUUGAAAGAAGACGCUUAAUUAAUAUAGCAGAUUAAAAAAAAAAAAGUGUUAUGCUUGAUUACGCGGUAAUGACCGCGACACUUAGAAAUAAUUUGGCUCCUAAAACCCAAUUAGAAUCCAAAAUUAAUCCCAAAUUAGUAGGGUUUCGUUCUUCCCUCUCUCUCUUUGUUCUUCACUCUCCAUCGAACACUUUGCCUCCAUUUGCUCGAUAGACUCGACCUCAAUCUCUUUCAUUCGAAUUUUCAUUCUCAAUUCCUCAGCUCCAACGAUUACUCAACGUGGAUUAACUCUUAUUGAAAUCCCCUUUGAUUGAAAUCCUUUCCGAUUCCAUCGAAGGUGAACUCGGGUUUCAUCUCUUUUCUAUCCUAAUCGAUUGAAAAUCGAUUUAUCUCUUCUCUAUAACUGAUUUAGGGUUAUUGCAUGUUUAAUUGAAUCGGUUUUGCAUGCUCGUUUGCAGGAACCUUUAUUUUCCGACAGCUUUGGCUUAAGGUAUUUGUUCUUUUCAAUUUCUGGGUUUCUCUUUUACUUGUUCAUUUCUGUAAAAUCUUGUAUCUUACUUAACAACAUUGUCUUUUUUUGUAGGAGACUCUAAUUUAAAUCCGAAGAGAUUAUUUUAAGGUGAGAAAUCUCGUUCUGUUUUGCUGUUAAAUCCCUUAUUUUUUUGUUGUUCUGGCUUGAUAAAGUGAGACUCUUGUAUGUUCAUUUCGUCGGAGCUGUAUCAUGGAUAAAUCUUGGGUCUGGUUACCAAGGUAUUAACUUCACUUGUUCUUUUAAAAUUUUUUAAGUCUCAGUGUUUAGUUCUCACUUGUUUUAACCAUACAGGAAUAGCCUUGAGUAUGAGAAAGGAGCUAGUGAGUUCGUGUCUUCUUCAUCAAAACGUUUAGGUGAUCCAGAUGAAAUGUUCUGCCCUUGUUGAUUACUCAAUGUGGAUUAACUCUUAUUGAAAUCCCCUUUGAUUGAAAUCCUUUCUGAUUCCAUCGAAGGUGAACUCGGGUUUCAUCUCUUUUCUAUCCUAAUCGAUUGAAAAUCGAUUUAUCUCUUCUCUAUAACUGAUUUAGGGUUAUUGCAUGUUUAAUUGAAUCGGUUUUGCAUACUCGUUUGCAGGAACCUUUAUUUUCCGACAGCUUUGGCUUAAGGUAUUUGUUCUUUUCAAUUUCUGGGUUUCUCUUUUACUUGUUCAUUUCUGUAAAAUCUUGUAUCUUACUUAACAACAUUGUCUUCUUUUGUAGGAGACUCUAAUUUAAAUCCGAAGAGAUUUUUUUAAGGUGAGAAAUCCCGUUCUGUUUUACUGUUAAAUCCCUUAUUGUUUUGUUGUUCUGGCUUGAUAAAGUGAGACUCUUGUAUGUUCAUUUCGUCGGAGCUGUAUCAUGGAUAAAUCUUGGGUCUGGUUACCAAGGUAUUAACUUCACUUGUUCUUUUAAAAAUUUUUAAGUCUCAGUGUUUAGUUCUCACUUGUUUUAACCAUACAGGAAUAGCCUUGAGUAUGAGAAAGGAGCUAGUGAGUUCGUGUCUUCUUCAUCAAAACGUUUAGGUGAUCCAGAUGAAAUGUUCUGCCCUUGUGUUGAUUGUCGCAAUGUCUGCCACCAAUCUAGUGAGAAAGUUUUCGAGCACCUGGUGAUUAGAGGAAUGGAUGAGAAGUACAAGAGCUGUAAGUUUUGGUCUAAACACGGGGAGACAAGACCUGAUAAGUCAGCUAAUGUGAUCUGGUCUGAAAAUGAGGCUUACGACUUGUUCAGAGCAACCUUCAUGCGAAGUCAAGGCAGCGAAGGAUACGCAGAGGAGAAUGCUGGAGUGUUUGAGGGCACUGAUACACCAGAAGAAGUUGAGUUUAGAAAGAAGUUAAAGGAUGCAGAAACUCCGUUGUACCCAAACUGUCUGAAAUUUACAAAGGUUGCUGCAAUCAUGGGACUUUACAGGAUAAAGGUGAAGAGUGGGAUGUCUGAGAACUAUUUCGAUCAGCUUCUGUCCCUAGUUCAUGAUCUGCUUCCCAGUGAAAAUGUUCUACCUAAGUCUACAGAUGAGAUGAAGAAGUUUCUGAAACAGUUUGGUUUUGGGUAUGAUGUCAUCCACGUCUGCAAGAAUGACUGUAUUUUGUAUAGAAAAGAGUUUGAGGAUGCAGUCAGCUAUCCAAGAUGUAGUGAAUCAAGAUGGGAGAAGGAUAAUCAGACUGGUGAGGAGAAGAAAGGGAUUCCUGUUAAGGUGCUUAGGUAUUUUCCGAUUAAAGACAGGUUCAGGAGAAUGUUUAGAUCAAAGCGGUUGGCAGAGGACUUGUGUUGGCACUCAACUAAUGCUUCUGAAGAUGGAAUUAUGCGUCAUCCAGUAGAUUCAUUGACUUGGGCUCAGAUAAACAACAAAUGGCAAGAGUUCGCUGCUGAAGCAAGAAACCUAAGACUAGGAAUUUCAACAGAUGGCAUGAAUCCGUUCUCUAUCCAGAACACGAAGCAUAGCACAUGGCCUGUUCUAUUAGUCAACUACAAUAUGGCUCCGACAAAGUAUAUGAGGUCCGAGAACAUCAUGUUGAUAAUGUUGAUACCUUGUCCAACCGCACCUAGCAACAACAUUGAUGUAUAUCUACAGCCAUUGAUAGAGGACUUGCAUGAUUUGUGGACAGAAGGUAUGGAAGUUUAUGAUUCGUUUAAGAAGGAGAGUUUUACACUUAGAGCUAUGAUGAUGUGUGACUCGCAUAUGCAAUUUCUUCAACAGACUCUGCCAACGCAUUCUUGAUCCAGAGAUGCUACUUGCACUAGAAACAGAGAUUGUGGAGACAAUGUGCCAGCUAGAGAGAUUCUUCCCACCUGCAUUAUUUGAUAUCAUGUUUCACCUUCCACUGCAUCUGGCAAGAGAAGCACGCUUGGGUGGCCCUGUUCUCUUCAGGUGGAUGUACCUGUGGGAACCAAAAUUCGCACUGUCGAUUUCCGUUUAAAUAAGGAAACUAGGAAAACCCUAAUUUCCCAGAGGUCCCGGAUCUCUGCGAGAGCCAACGACAAGUGAUCGAAUAUAUGCGGAAAUCAUGAAAAGAUAACAAACGAGUUUAGAGAAAACAGUAGAUCUUAUUUCGAGUCCGCGUAAGAGCGUUGCGAUCAUUACAAGAGAAUACAAAGGCUUUGGCCGCAGGGGCCGUCAGCGAGUUACCUAGUUCUAGCAACAUAAAACCCUAAUCCUAGUUGAGUCGCAGCUCGAUAACAAAGGACGAAAAAGAUAUCUAAAAGGCUUAGAUUGAUUUCGGACUGAACCUUGUUAAAGGCUGCCUACGUACCCCUUUCGAGGAUCAAGCCGAACGUAGUUCAAUUGAUAGAGCUGGACAAGAGAUCGAACUGCCUGGGCGAGUUCGUCUAGUAAUUGAGUGCCAGUCAUAGAAACCNNNNNNNNNNNNNNNNNNNNNNNNNNNNNNNNNNNNNNNNNNNNNNNNNNNNNNNNNNNNNNNNNNNNNNNNNNNNNNNNNNNNNNNNNNNNNNNNNNNNNNNNNNNNNNNNNNNNNNNNNNNNNNNNNNNNNNNNNNNNNNNNNNNNNNNNNNNNNNNNNNNNNNNNNNNNNNNNNNNNNNNNNNNNNNNNNNNNNNNNNNNNNNNNNNNNNNNNNNNNNNNNNNNNNNNNNNNNNNNNNNNNNNNNNNNNNNNNNNNNNNNNNNNNNNNNNNNNNNNNNNNNNNNNNNNNNNNNNNNNNNNNNNNNNNNNNNNNNNNNNNNNNNNNNNNNNNNNNNNNNNNNNNNNNNNNNNNNNNNNNNNNNNNNNNNNNNNNNNNNNNNNNNNNNNNNNNNNNNNNNNNNNNNNNNNNNNNNNNNNNNNNNNNNNNNNNNNNNNNNNNNNNNNNNNNNNNNNNNNNNNNNNNNNNNNNNNNNNNNNNNNNNNNNNNNNNNNNNNNNNNNNNNNNNNNNNNNNNNNNNNNNNNNNNNNNNNNNNNNNNNNNNNNNNNNNNNNNNNNNNNNNNNNNNNNNNNNNNNNNNNNNNNNNNNNNNNNNNNNNNNNNNNNNNNNNNNNNNNNNNNNNNNNNNNNNNNNNNNNNNNNNNNNNNNNNNNNNNNNNNNNNNNNNNNNNNNNNNNNNNNNNNNNNNNNNNNNNNNNNNNNNNNNNNNNNNNNNNNNNNNNNNNNNNNNNNNNNNNNNNNNNNNNNNNNNNNNNNNNNNNNNNNNNNNNNNNNNNNNNNNNNNNNNNNNNNNNNNNNNNNNNNNNNNNNNNNNNNNNNNNNNNNNNNNNNNNNNNNNNNNNNNNNNNNNNNNNNNNNNNNNNNNNNNNNNNNNNNNNNNNNNNNNNNNNNNNNNNNNNNNNNNNNNNNNNNNNNNNNNNNNNNNNNNNNNNNNNNNNNNNNNNNNNNNNNNNNNNNNNNNNNNNNNNNNNNNNNNNNNNNNNNNNNNNNNNNNNNNNNNNNNNNNNNNNNNNNNNNNNNNNNNNNNNNNNNNNNNNNNNNNNNNNNNNNNNNNNNNNNNNNNNNNNNNNNNNNNNNNNNNNNNNNNNNNNNNNNNNNNNNNNNNNNNNNNNNNNNNNNNNNNNNNNNNNNNNNNNNNNNNNNNNNNNNNNNNNNNNNNNNNNNNNNNNNNNNNNNNNNNNNNNNNNNNNNNNNNNNNNNNNNNNNNNNNNNNNNNNNNNNNNNNNNNNNNNNNNNNNNNNNNNNNNNNNNNNNNNNNNNNNNNNNNNNNNNNNNNNNNNNNNNNNNNNNNNNNNNNNNNNNNNNNNNNNNNNNNNNNNNNNNNNNNNNNNNNNNNNNNNNNNNNNNNNNNNNNNNNNNNNNNNNNNNNNNNNNNNNNNNNNNNNNNNNNNNNNNNNNNNNNNNNNNNNNNNNNNNNNNNNNNNNNNNNNNNNNNNNNNNNNNNNNNNNNNNNNNNNNNNNNNNNNNNNNNNNNNNNNNNNNNNNNNNNNNNNNNNNNNNNNNNNNNNNNNNNNNNNNNNNNNNNNNNNNNNNNNNNNNNNNNNNNNNNNNNNNNNNNNNNNNNNNNNNNNNNNNNNNNNNNNNNNNNNNNNNNNNNNNNNNNNNNNNNNNNNNNNNNNNNNNNNNNNNNNNNNNNNNNNNNNNNNNNNNNNNNNNNNNNNNNNNNNNNNNNNNNNNNNNNNNNNNNNNNNNNNNNNNNNNNNNNNNNNNNNNNNNNNNNNNNNNNNNNNNNNNNNNNNNNNNNNNNNNNNNNNNNNNNNNNNNNNNNNNNNNNNNNNNNNNNNNNNNNNNNNNNNNNNNNNNNNNNNNNNNNNNNNNNNNNNNNNNNNNNNNNNNNNNNNNNNNNNNNNNNNNNNNNNNNNNNNNNNNNNNNNNNNNNNNNNNNNNUUUAUAACGAGGCUUUCCACAAAAUUUGCAUGUAACCCGCUGUUCAUCCGCCCUCCAAUAAAUCAUGCAGUUGUCGCUGCAUACAUCUAUUAUCUGAUACGAUAAACCAAGACCAGCUACGAGUUUCUGAACCUCGUAGUAUGAACCGGGAGCUACAUUAUCCUCGGGUAGAAUACCUUUUACAAAAUCAGCAAUCGCAUCCACGCAGUCUUCAGCCAAAUUAUAAUCUGUUUUAAUGCCCAUCAAUCUUGUAGCAGAUGAUAAAGCUGAAUGACCAUUUCUGCAACCUUCGUACAAUGGUUGCUUUCCAGCAUCCAACAUAUCAUAAAAUCUCCUAGCUUCUGCAUUGGGUAAAUCUUCCCCUCUAAAAUGAUCAUUUACCAUCUGCUCAGUACCUACACCAUAAUCUACAUCCGUUCUAAUUGGUUCUUCUAAUCUAACCGCUGGCUGAGGUUCGCUAGUACUACCAUGUUCAUAAUCAGUUUCCCCAUGAUGAUACCAAAUUUUGUAACUUCGUGUAAACCCACUCAAAUAUAGAUGAGUCCAAACAUCCCACUCUUUAAUAACCUUUCUAUUUUUACAAUUAGAGCAAGGACAUCUUAACUUACCUGUUUUUGCUUCCGGUUGUCGGUGAACUAACCCCAUGAAUUCGGUUAUACCUCGUUGGUAUUCUUCCGUAAGCAAUCUCGUGUUCGGAUCCAAAUGAGGUCGAUCGAUCCAAGAACGAAAAUAAUUUGAAGAAGACAUAUUUUUUAUGAAUCAAAUUCGUGUGUAAAUAGAGUAAGAGGGAGGAUGAAGAUAUGGAGUGAAUGAAGAGGAAGAGGAGUGCUUGUAUAUAUAGAUUAAAUCCUGCCGACAUACCGAGGAAAUUCCGACGGAAUUCCGACGGAAAAGGCUAGUUCGUCGGAAUUUCCUCGGAAUUUUGUAAAAUCCCCCAACGGCACUCCAACGGCUAUAAUAUUUCCUCGGAAUUCAUCGGUUUUUUCCGAGGAACACAUUGUUCCUCGGAAUUUCCUCGGAAUAUUCCGACGGACUGAGGUUUCCUCGGAAUUCCGUCGGUAUAUUCCGAGAAAAUUCCGAGGAACCCCAAUUUUGUGUUUCCUCGGAAUUUCCUCGGAAAUUCCUCGGUAUAUUCCGAGGAUUUCAUUUUCCGUCGGAAUGUCCGUCAGAAUACCGCUGUUUUCUUGUAGUGACACUUAUAUAGAUCUAAUGACUCAGGUAGAUAAAUUUGAUAUACGUUGCCUUGGCUGCUCUCUUCAAAUGCAGUUUCGGUAAACUCGAUUUAAAUAUAUACAAACUUAGACAUUCUACACAUUCAAUCACUCAGACCCCUCUCCACCUCACAUUUCAAACUACGCUUGUACUUAUCCACCACAACACAAGUCAUAUGGUUUUACCUUCUUUUUUUUGAAUUAUACAGAGGUAUCCUGGCUCCACAGAAGUGAUCCAAACUAGUCACGUGUUGCCACGUGUCGGUUCUCUGUCCCUAGCGAUGCCGAAAUGUUAAUUCCCCAGUGGUCGGGAUUCGAACCCAGGUGGCAGUACUCACAGCUGUAAGCCUUUUACCACUAGAGCUAGAAGCCCCGGUUAAAAAAGAUGGUUUCACCUCUUUGCCGGGAACCCAAACAUUGUAAAUAGUCAUUCCCACCGUGAAUUGAACCCGGGUGGCGAUAGUUACAAUUGUAACCCCUUUACCACUAGAACAACUCAACAUUGGUAAAUAUGGUUUUACCUUCAUCAACAAUAAAUGAAAGUUUUAUUUUAAAACUAUAGCAACCCAAGCAUUUGUCAACAUCCCCGCGCAAGCCCCUAGUGUUAGUAAAGAGUAGAGAGUUCUAAUAGCAUUUCCAAUCAUAAUUUUAAACCUCUAGUGUCACUUGCGAACCGGGAGAGACUGACAAAUCUUGAUAAUGAUAACCUUAUUAUUCAUUUUUCUAUUGAAUAAUUAGUGAUUUUGUAUACGUAAAAUGAAACCCAUCAAAUACAAAACUGAACCCUGGUUUAAAAUCUCAAAUUCUAGAGAAGACAAAAAUCCAAUACCCAAUAAAAAUAAAAAUAAAAAGACAAUUAAGCAGGGGUGAAUUAGCUGAAUAACAAUAAUGAAGACAAAAAUUAACAAAAUAGUCAUGUAAAGGUCUAGCUAGGUGAGGGACAUGGUCGGUCCUGAGAUAUUGAAGGUCCAAUACAACAUACAAAACCGAGACCCUUAACUAUAUAUAAAAAAAUUUCUUGAUAAAAAAUUAAUUUAUAAUAAAAAAGUUUACAACAACUUCAAAACUAUUAAAAUUUGAUAUUUUUUGUAAAAUAACACUCUAUAAUUUGUUUUCUGAAAAUUAUCAAUCAAACUUUUAUAAUCAAGGUUUUCUGAUAAUAUUUUUCUUAGUUGAUAACAUAGCCAAACCAUUAAAUAUGUUUUGUAAUAUAGUUAAUCGCAAGUAAUAUUUUUACAAUUGCAGUAUUGAGAAGUUUCUUUUGGUUGGAGCAUCUGAAACCGAGAUUGUAAACAUUAGACCAUCUAUAUAUUUUGAUAACUCUUUUUGGUAUUUUGGUCUUGUAACUCGUACUAGGAGUUAGUAGGAAAAGAGCGAACACAAUUGCCUGUAAAAAAAGAAUAAUUUAGUCUGAAAGAUAAUUAUUCUUAAUCAGUUAUGUUUAUUAGUUAUGUUCUUUUUAAUCUAUUCAUAUUAAAUAACAUAAAAAGAUAUGUAGGAUUUAAUUGUGUUUGUAUAUAAAAGAUGUCUCCUCACUUUUUUUUAACUUGUGUACAGUACACAUUGAUCCAUUUAAGUAACAACAAUAAAAAAAAUAUACCUCAUUUUUUUUAUGAAUCAUGGGCCCCAUACGAUUGUUUCACGUGUAUGGGGUCAAGCCCCGGCUUGGUGAGGGAUGUGAUAUUUUGUCACAAAACUAGACGAUAUAUUCCUAUUUCGUGCCCGUAAUGCACAUGCGACACCCAUAACGUAUGAGUUUGUGAUCGUGGGCAUUUUAUUUUACUUAUUUUUUUGUUAAACGGUUUUCAAUUAAUAAAUUAACCGAUUACAGAAAGCUAGAAGCAUCAGUACAAUAACAUUAGAAAAGAAAAGGGAGAAAAAUCAAAGGAAGCUGAUAGAGAACAGAGUAAGGGAAACAGAAAGCAAUUAUCAUGCGGAUCAAACCAGAAAUUAGCCAGAAGAGAACCACGCGAGAAACCUUUUGCAGUCAUCGCUUAUUAGAUCUAGAGAUCAAGCUCCACUGAUAAAGCAAAGAAGAAGAAGAUGAAAGUUUGUUAUGAUUAAAUUGGUAAAUUUUGUUACAAUAUGGUUAUGUAUUUAUACUAUCUAAUAUCGGUAUCAGAUUUAUUCAAUCAUAUCACAAUACCCUUAAAGUUUUAUUCUCUGCUGUUUUCGUUAGGUGUUUAAGCAUAAUGUCUCAAGGUCAACUUUUGGAGAGGAAAGGUGCGGGGAUGGUUUGCAAACCAUUGAGGGGUUCAGUGCCUCAUUUUGAUAAUUCCGAGCUUAUCAAGGUGUAUGCCAAAACAUUGAUUGGCAGAUGUAUGAACCCCAAGAAGCAAGAUGUGAAAGCCUUGAUCAUCAUGCUGCCAAAAAUUUGGAAAAUGGAGGAGAGGAUUGUCGGAGCUGAUCUUGGACUUGGGAGGUUCCAAUUCGAUUUUGAUCCAGAGGAGGAUAUUGAAGAGGUUUUCAGGAUGCAGCCUUAUCACUUUGACUAUUGGAUGAUCUCGCUGGUCCAUUGGCAGCCGGUGAGGGAGAAGAGUAAUGAUGUGCCCAAGUCCAUGGACCAGACCGAUCAGAACGUUCCAGACGUCCCAGUUGAGGUUCAUCCUACCGAUCAGAUCAGACAGAUUGACCGGGCUGUGUAUCGGCUCGACCCGCGAAUGUCUGGAUUGGAGCUUCGUCCAGAUACUCGACCAGAUGCUCGAACUGGCCGAACUGAAGCCCGUCUCUCCCAGCCAACUCGACAAGCCAAGACUGAUGGUCAAGUCAGAACCAAUUUAGCUCGAGCCAAUUCCGAUUCAGACCAUGGCUUCUCUCUUUUGGCUCGAUUGGCUCGUACCGCAUGUACCGACGACCGUGCUGAUGAUCUUUCUACCUUGUUCGAUCCGAUCAUGGACUUUUCCUUUGGAUAUUUUUCUAAGGCAAGGAUCCUUAAGCUAUCAGAAGACUUUGGCUUUGUUGGAACGCAACUUGUCCGAUCAGAACGUCCCGCAGCCCUUGCUGAUCGUCCCGCCUAUGUGCUGAUCCUUACCGCUUUGGACUUAGCCGGUUCAGAUGCAUCUGGACAGAAGCCAAACGGUCAGUUUGACUAGUUUUCUCUCUUUAUUUCCGUGUAUUGACUAGAUCUUGAUCUAGAUCUACUUUUCUAUUUAAUGCCUAGAUCUACAAAACUCUAUAAGUAUGUAAACUCUUCAUUGGGAAUAAUUAAUCGAUUUUUGCAUAAACCUUUUGAGUUAAACUCUUUGUUCUUUGUCUAGAACUUGUCUUGUUUCUUGGUGAGUCAUAUCCAAGCAAACACCUCUCUAAAUCGUUGGUCUUGUGAGCCAUAUCAAGCAACGGUUCGAGAUUCUUCUUUUGGUGGACUUGUGAGUCAUAUCAAGCACCAUCUGAAGUUGGGAAUAUCGAAGGCCAAUCCGCAUCCUUCGUGAGACCCUUCAAUCCAUAUAGUUCUCCAUCUGGAGUUCAUAUCCAAAUCUGAUCUAUUAGAGUGAGCUGAUCUUAGGGUCCUUCAAGUGGUAUCAGAGCCGCUUGUUUGGUAUCUUCUAAAUCAUUCAUCUUUCUCAUCUUCUAUUUCUAAAUCAUAAACACUUCUUCUUCUAUCUAUCUUGAAUCCGGGCCCCUCAUUACCAUCCUUUACAUAUAUAAAAAAAAAAAAAAAAAAAGAAAGAUCGAUCUAUAACAAAAAAAGGAAUUCGAAAAGAUUUCAUUUGGGGGAUUGGUGGUGGAAGAGAAAGCCUGCUGGCUGAGGAGAAAUCCACCCUUUGAAGUGGUUAAAACGGAUUCCCAAAACCAAAAUCUGUUAUCUUUCUAUCUUGAGAAAAUUCCCUUUGUGUUCGCUUCGAUUUGUCCAUUGGGAUUCUUAGAUCUGUUCUUCUUAGAACCUUGAGUGGAAACUUGUUUGUGUGACCAUCCAAAUUCUGAGAUAAACACGUGAGUGGGUGAGGAUCAAACACUUGAGAGUUUGAGGAUUUUUAUCUAACGUUUUGUGUUUAAGAAAUUUCAGGAACCAUGAGUAGUGAUGAUGAACGGAACCGUCCCGGAAACUCAGUUGCUGGAUUAUCUAACCUUCAAAUACGUGCCUUGAAUGAUUCUAUGUCUAACAUGUUGAACGCAUGUUUAGAUCAGAUCCACCAGAGGCUUGAUGAGAUUCAGGCCAGCCAAGCUCCUUCUAUAGCCGGAGCAAGAAGAGACCGUCCGCGUAGGAACACUGGGUCUGACGAUGAGAUCCAAGAGGAGGAUGAUCAAGAGGACGAGGCCAGAUCAGCCUACCGUCCAAGAAGAGGUCCUAGAACCCGAGAUCCAGGUGAUGUCAAUCCUUUUGCUAGAAAUGAACGUACUAAUGAUAGAUUAAGUGGAUUGAAACUAAAAAUCCCAUCUUUUGAGGGUAAAAAUGAUCCUAAUGUUUUUCUUGAAUGGGAAAGAAAAAUUGAACAUGUCUUUAAUUGUCAAAACUUUUCUGAACUUAAGAAAGUUAGACUAGCUGUUACUGAAUUCUCUGGCUAUGCUAUUAAUUGGUAUGAUCAAGUUGUGACCCAUAGGAGGAGAACAGGUGAGAGACCGAUUGAGACAUGGGAUGAGUUUUCCAUGCUGAUGAGGAGACGAUUUGUUCCUGCUCAUUAUCACCGAGACCUCCAUCAGAAACUCAGACGCUUGCUUCAAGGCACUAAGUCCAUGGAAGACUACCACCAGGAGAUGGAAACUUUGAUGAUCAAGGCCGAUGUAGACGAGCCCAUGGACGCCACUAUGGCUAGGUUCCUCUCUGGCCUUAACCGAGACAUCCAAGACCGCAUGGAGCUUCAAGAGUAUGGUAGUGUGGAACAGAUGCUACACAAGGCCAUCUUGAUCGAACAACAAGUUAAGAGGAAGAGUUUCUCAAAGCCUGCCAUUACCUCUAAACCGGCCUACUCUUCUAAACCGGCUUUUUCUCCUAAGCCAAGCUACCAAGACAAAGGUAAGUCUUCUUCCACAACACAUAAUGCUUUUAAAACUGAUGUCCCUGCUCGUGAUGACAAAGGAAAGGCAGUUGAUACUUCUGGCCGAGCAAGAGACAUUAGGUGUUUCAAAUGUCAAGGUCUAGGACAUUUUGCCAAAAACUGUCCCAACCAACGAGUGAUGAUUCUCAUGGUGAAUGGAGAAGUUGAAUCUGAGGAUGAACAGGAGGACAAGGAGGAUCUUGGACCAAUCUUUGAUGAUGAGGACGAGUCCUUUGGAUAUCCGCAUCAAGGGCCACUACUUGUUGCUAGGAAAGGCAUGAUCGAGUCUAUCUUCGAUGAGACGGACGGCCGCUUAGUCGAUGGUUCCGAUCCAGCCUUUGAUGAUGAGUCCGAUCCGAUCUAUGAUGAGGAGGCUUACUUCGACUAUCCAGCUCAUGGUCCUCUACUUGUAACAAGAAGAUCUCUGAGUGUCCAGCCCAAAACCAAUGAAAAAGAAAAAAGGGAGAAUCUCUUUCAUUCUCGUAGUUUAGUUUCUGAAAAGGUUUGUUCUUUGAUUAUUGAUGGUGGGAGUUGUACUAAUGUUGCUAGUGACACUCUUAUCAGGAAACUAGGACUUGCAACUCGGCCUCUCUCUCAUCCUUUCAGGUUGGAAUGGCUAAACGAGGCUGGAGAACAGUAUGUGAAAGAGCAAGUCACUGUCCAUAUUACCAUUGGCCGAUAUGAGGACGAGGUCGUUUGCAACGUUCUUCCUAUGGACGCAUGCCACAUUCUCUUGGGCCGGCCAUGGCAAUUUGAUAAGAGAGCCGUGCAUGAUGGCUGUUUGAACCGAUACUGUCGAUAAACUAGUAAAGAGAAAGGACGAGUUCUCGUCGGUGGGUCAAGACAAAGACGUGUUUUAUUAGAUCAAUGAGUCGAAACAGUGUUACAAAACGGGGAGAGACCAAAGGAAUUAGUCCGGCGAAAGCUGGUUCGUCGGACCGUACAAGUCGGCGAGAAGUAAGAUAAGAAACCCUAAAUCUAGCCGAAAGUGAGUGUAAUAGUUUGCGGAUCCCCUCCUUGUUGCCUUUUCUCCUCCUUUUAUAGAAACAUGCUCGUUAACCUAAGGUGCUCUGUCCUUACAGGCCUCCUCGAGUGGUUGGGCCGAGGUGUCGGGCCGCUGACUCGAGUCAUCGAGCCGACGACUUUCGGUUGGUCGUUUCACCGAUCAAAAGCAGUCUAAAGCCGAGUCGACCACCGGCUCGCAAGUUGACGAGCCGACUUUCUUUGUUGUGAUCAUGUGUCUGGAUAAUUGUCUUGUGGGCCUUUAGGGAGGGGCUAAGCCCAUACCCAACAGUAAGUCCCCCCAGUUCGCUGGUGAGUAGCGUAGCCGACUCAGCGAAUUUGGAAGUAGGGUUUGCAAGACAAUCGUUCCAGGUUUAUGAUCUCACUUGAUUCCUCGACUGUGUGAGCAGCUCGUUUAUUCUCACUCCGUGAUUUGACUGAUUCGAUUUGGACCAGCGGUUUCUUCCGGUUUUGAUUUCGACUGUUGGUCUCGAUUCAAACCGGUCUUGGUUUUCCUCGAGAAGUCGAAACGUCGCGAGUCGUGGUGAGCUUCACGCGCCUAAAUGGGCCGAUCUAGGCCCAUCUAGGCCUAAUGAUGACGCCUCGGGGUGUGAUGCGCUCCUUCCCUUAUAAAUACCCCCCUCGCAUCUCAUUUUCUCCACUCUUCAUCCGGUUCAGGUACUUUUUCUCUCUUGCUUUCCGCUUCUCUCUCUAACGUUGUAGUCUUAGUCCUUUGAGAAUGUCGUCGGGCGGUAGCGGUAGGCUUUCCAGGGCACAGAAAGGGAAGGCUGUGGCGAGAGCGACCGAAUCGAGUCCUGCUAGUGACGUCGAGUUAAACUCUCCCUCUGACUUCGAGAUGAUUCAUCGUGAAGCCAUGAUGGAUACGGAGAACAUGGAUACGCCUCAGCGAGUCCUCGUUGCUGAGUCGGCACGUCAACUCCGCGAGGAGAGAGAGGCUGCUUCAUUGAUUGCGAGAGACGGUCAGGGUGGGGCAAGUGAAGGAGAGGCUUCUCUCCCUGACUUCGUUCCAUGCUGUUAUCACCCCGAAGGAAUCUUCGAGGAUCUCCCAGCUUUGGCGCCGGAACAGAUGCGUUCUCUUGUCGUGGAAGGACAAACGUGGGAGAACGUCGAGGAGACUCGUUUGACUCCUAGCAGCGUGAAAGCUUUGCUGAGAGAGUGCAGAGGAGUCGGAGUGACUUUCGUAAUCCCAACGAGGUCUCAGAGGCCGUGGUCCCCUCUGUUGGGGUUUCAGUGUGUCUACGAGUCAUACUUUCAGAGCGAGACCAAGCUCUGGUUUCUGAUUCCUCGACUCAUCACAUCUUAUACGAGACGUCGUGACGCAGCGAUGAGCCAGUUCUUGAAUGGCGCGUUCCGUAUUUCGGUAGCGUUGAUGGUGACAGCGGCGGAGAUCGAUAUCUCAAUGAGCGUGCGGACUCUUGAAGAGCUGACCUACGUUAAAUCUAUGGGGGACGGAUUGUUCUCGAUUCAGAUGAGGCCCAACUACAAUGUGAUUGUUGACCACCCUAGCAGGACGGCCAAUUGGCAGGGCUUCUAUUUUUACGUCAAAUUUGAUGGUAUUGCCUUAGAGGAGCCGCCCGACGAUUCCUUUCGAUUUUAAUGGAAUCAUAAGCUCGAUAGAGCACUGUUGUUAGCUUAUCGACUGUUUCUUUCUUUUAUUUUCUGACUGACGAGUCCUUGGUUGAUUACAGUUGAUCACCCAGAUUCGGCCUCCUAUCCAGAAGAGUUCAUUGCUAACGCUCGGGCCGUCAUGUCGCGUGUUCAAGUAAGUUGGAAAGACAUCACCGUCGAGGGGAUUCGAGGAGCCACCGGUAGGAUUCCGAAGAGUAAGUUUUCUUUUCGUGAUUACAUAUUUUUCCUGGCUCGCGUCUGUUCACUCUAGGCCUUUAUCCGGAUCAGACUCGUCGACCUCUUGCUGGGGACUGGAGAUCCGAUUUACCACCUUUGAUUACCGGAAACAAGCGGCGCUUUUCGAUAUUCAAUCGUGCCGAGCAAAAGGUGAUCAACGCAGCUAGGGAGAUGAAAUAACUUUCGGACUUGAGCGCACUAAUCAAGAAGAAGCUGAGCGAAGGGAAAAAUACGUCUUCUGCGACUCCCGGUGAGACGACUCCUAGUAAGACGACUCCUGGUGAGACGACUCUUAGUGAGACGACUCCUGGUGAGACGACUCCUAGUAAGGCGACUCCUGGUGAGACGACUCCUUCAGAGCCUCCCCCUCCUGCUGUUUCCUCGGGACCAAUCAAUAUCGAAUCCUCGAGGGAGGACCUCAUGCAGUCUUUUGAAGGAGAGACUGCCGAGCCAUCUGUGACAGACGGUAAUAAGAAGAAAAGGUCUGCUCCCGAUUCUUCUGCUUCAAUCGACGCCCAAGCGAGGACUGGGUCUGAUGAACCUCCGAGGAAGAAGAAGAAGAAGAAGGAGAAGAAAAAGAGGAAGAAGUCUACUGAGGGGCAGUCGGAACUUAUCGGGGACGCUGAGGGCCACGAACCUGUUGUUCAUGAGGGCUCUUCUCGUGAUGCUGCGACUCGAGCUGUCGUUGAGUCGAGCGGUUCCCCGAACAUCCCGCUAGAGAAGAGGAAGAAGUCUUCCUGUGGGAGUGAUGCGUCCGCUUCUGCUGCAAAGACUCCUUCGGUGGCGCCUCCGACGACCACGGGGGAGGCUCAGCCUCGGAGGAACCUCGGAUCAAAUUCCGCGAUCGCGUUGAAUUCAAGUAUGACGGCGACACUCCACUUGCUUACGCUCUGUCGGAAUGUGCUGAGCUUAUUCGACAAAUUCGAGGUGGCGCCAAGGAUAUGCCUCCUGUUAAAGAUCUCCUCUUCAAAGACGCAUAUGUUGAUGCAGCGAGGACCAAGGUUUUGGUAAGGAUUACUCUCCUCGUCUCGCCUUCUCUAUAUUCUUAAUUCUGAUCCUCCCCUUUGUUUGUGCAGAGCGAUGGGAGCAUGAACUACGUCGUUGAGUUGUACGACACAGCCCUUAAGGAGACCAUCUCCAAACUGAAGCAAUCAGACAGACUCGUGCGAGCGAGGGACACGGUUCUCAAUCGCAAGACGAGUGAAUUCAGGGCGGCGAUCGACAAGGCAGCAGCGGAGCAGAGUCGGUUACUCGCAGGGAAGAAAGCUCAGAAGGAGAAGUUUAUGGAGAAGUUCGGGGAGCUGAAGGACAAGUUCAAAAAUGCAAGUGAGAAGAUCAGAGGGCUCGAAUGAGAGAGAGCUGCUUUGGAAAAAGAGAAAACUGCUUUGGAGGAGAAGAGGGUGGCCACGGCUUUAAGGCAUCUGAAGGAGGUCAACCGGUUGAGGGACUCUCGAAGUUACGAGGUUACGCAUGAGUAAGUCCGCGUUCAAACGGCUAUGAUUGUAAAAAGCAAUCAUCGUUUUGCUAAAAUUCGAGACCUCGAGAAGCGUCAUGGCGACUUCGAGACGGCGAGAUCCCUGCAGAGCCAAGCCAUUGGAACGAAGAAGUGUCUUGAAGCGCUUAAGGAGAGCGGGAUUGAUAUCCCGCAAGAGACGUUCGACCUGUUUGCUGAGCAGGAGAAGGAGUUCGAAGCUGAGGCUAAGCGCUUAACAGUUGGCGGGAUUUCCGAAGAGCUUCUUUGUUUGUCUCUGCUUCAUCUCCCGUCCACCUUCUUGAACGAGGACGUUUUGGCAGCAAACGACCCGUACGGGUCGAACGCAGGUCUGAUUGAUGCAGGAACCGCGGCUUCCCUCCAAACUCCAACUAGUUCUCAGGGAGAUCAUGCGAUCGAAUGGCCGAAUGAACCGACCAGGAGAGAGCUCGGGGAGUCGUAUGUUCAGGGACACGAGGUCGUUAGCAGGGUCGAGAGGUCCGAGGAUGCGACUGCUCCACUUGUAUUGGGCCCUGCCCCAUCAAUGGCCAACCUCGUCGUGAGUGAGGAGUCGUUGAUCCCGGUACUCGGAGUUAGCGACGCGAAUCCGACUCUUCCUUUGGGUCUCAAGGAGGCGGGAUCGGAGCCUGUUGACCUGCUCGAACUCUCAGACUUUCAACUGAAGAAGAGGGUGGUGAAAAAUUGGACGAGCGGGUCCCCGGGGAUAAUCCGCAAGGAACAGAGGAAGGAGUGGUCGACGAAGUUGAGGAUCCGCCUGCUUCGGCAACGGACGAGGCUGGAGGCUCCUCAGAUUAGCUCGAAGCUCGAGUCGUCAAGGAAGACCCCGAUCGUGCCGAAGACUAACCUCAUAUGUUGUUGUUGAUUUGCUUAAGCUUUCUGUUUUUUAGCCCUUUGAGGCAUUUUUUAUGUAAUUUCUGAACUCUUUACUUUGCGGCUGUUUUUCGUUUCAGACCUUCAGUAAGCCUUUUUUUUUUUAAAAACGAAGUUUGCCUUAGUCGUGAAACACAGUCUCGUGGACUCGGAAGUGCUAGUUGCCUUUCGACGAGUCGCUGAAUUGUGUUUCGGACAUUUGAUUCUAACGAUUUUGACUUAACGAUUCGGUCAGAGUUUCGAAUUAAACCGGAGAGUCGAUUGUCCAGUCUUAUCGAAUCUUGACGCGUUAUGUCGUCAGUUCGAGUCCUCGAAAAAGUAUAACUUUCGACUUCGAAGAUAAUCGUUUAUAGUUUCGAGCGACAGCGGUUCUCAUUCGAUCUUAAAGUGAUCCUAAAAAUGUUAGGUUGGCCAAACCUGGCUUCAAAGGAUCAUAAGGUGAUUGAAAGUUGUUGUCUCGAACGCAUCGGCUGAGACCGUGAUACGACCGGGGAUCCCUUGAGUACGUGUCUGAUCAGGACAUGCUCGUUAGUGUGCACGAGUUCUAGUACGUUCGUCCGAGAUAGAAGGUCAUACUCGUGCGUAAGCAUCGUUCAAAACAAUUCGCGCUCCAACUUGUUGCGGAAUUGUUUUGUUAUAGCUGGACCAUUUAAGGCUGCCUACGUACCUCUGGGAGAGGAACAAGCCAUUCGUAGUUCGUUUUUGGAUUAGUAAAAGUGGCAGUGGAAGCGCAUUCACUUGUUGUUGUUGUUUAUUUUUUAUUUUUUAUUUUUUACGAGUGAAAGUGACGGAAUUGUCAUUCACUUGGAGGUUCGAUCGAGUAAGACUUGCAGGUGCUCGACCGUUAGACAUGUUCUCAAGAGUAGUAUCUUCGGAGAUGCAUGGAGUUCCAUGCUCUGGGAACGGGUUCGCCAGUCGAUGUCUCGAGUCGGUAGACUCCUGGUUUAACAACCUGAGCAAUUUUGUAAGGCCCUUCCCAGUUAGUUCCGAGUUUGCCUGCAUUCAGCUCCUUAGUGUUUUCGAACACUUUGCGCCGUACUAUAUCGCCCAGUUCGAGAGGUCGAGACUUGACCUUCUUGUUGUAGUAGCUUUCGAUCUGAUGCUGAUAAUUCUGGAUGCGGAGCAGGGCUUGGUCGCGGCGCUCUUCUAUGGCGUCCAGAGCAUCGAAGAGCAUGUCGCUGUUGAGUUCAAUGUUCUGCGGCAUUCUUGACCGUCGUAGACUGGUUACGUUCACUUCGACGGGGGCCAUAGCUUCGACUCCGUAUGCCAUUGAGAAAGAAGUUGAUUUUGUUGCUCCUCGAGGAGUUGUUCUAUGUGACCAGAGAACACCGUCGAGUUUAUCAGCCCAACAUCCUUUUUUUAAGUCGAGGCGUUUCUUCAAACCGUCGAUUAUGAUCUUGUUGGAUGCCUCGGCUUGACUGUUGCUCUGCGGGUAUCGCGGACUCGCUGUGUUGAGUCGGAUUCUCCAUCUCUCGUAGAAUUCUCGGAACUUGUUCGAUAUGAACUGGGAGCCGUUGUCAGUCACUAUUUCGUAAGGUAGGCCGUGGCGACAGGUGAUGUUCUUACACACGAAUCGUUGAACUUCUUUUUCUGUUAUGCUAGUGAAGGCUUCAGCCUCAAUCCACUUUGUGCAGUAAUCUGUCAAAACUAGGACGAAACGCUUCUGUCGAGAGCUCGGCAUAGGGCCGAUUAUUUCCAUUCCCCAUCGCAUAAAAGGGUAUGGAGCAGUCAUCGUUCGCAGCAACUGCGUCGGGGAGUGGAUUGUCGAUGCAUGUCACUGGCAUUGGUCGCAUCGCUGGGCGUAAGCUUCGCAGUCUGCAUUCAUUGUUGGCCAGUAAAAGUCGAGGCUUUUGACUUUUAACGCGAGUGCUCGACCUCCGGAGUGGUUUCCCGCGGCGCCUUCAUGCGUUUCGGCCAUGACAAGGUGCGUCUCCUCGCCGUUGAUGCACUUCAGAAGCACCUUGGUUGCGGUCCAUCGAUGGACUUCUCCAUCCAAGAUGACGCAGUGGGCACUCCUUGUCUUGAGCCGUCUUGCAAUCCAUUUCUCGGGGGGUAAACUUUCGUCGACCAGAUAGUUGAUGAAUUAUGUCCUCCAGUCGGUACCUUCAAUUUGUUCUGUUGCGGGGUCCUCGUCCAUGGGGAUGGCUUUGGUUAUGGGUGCUAUGACGGUCACUUCGCUAGGCGGGAGCUCGAUGCUUGGCUUGUCGAUCUUGUGGAUGGCCAAGAUCGCGCAGCCUGCUACCCAUGGCAGCGAGGGCGUCGGCGCACACGUUCUCUCCUCUGGGGACUUUGUUGAGUUCAAAGAAUUCGAAGUCCCUAGCGAGUGUUUGAACGACUUUAAGGUAUGCGUCCAUUCGUUCGUUACGAGCAUCGUAGUCGCCGCUAAACUGACUGGUAACUAGUUGUGAGUCGCAGUAUGCACUGAAGUGUUUUGCUUUGACUGCCUUAGCGAGUCGUAGUCCUGCGAUCAAUGACUCGUAUUCCGCUUCAUUGUUUGAAGCGGUGAAGCCGAAACUGAACGACUGUCUGAUUAGCUCGCCUGUUGGAGACUGAAGUUGGACUCCUGCUCCUGAUCCUUUGUUUGUUGACGAUCCGUCGACGUGAAGUAUCCAAUUCUGACUUGGAAGAACUAGAUCUUGCUCUAGCUCUGGUGCGAGCUCGAUCAGGAAGUCAGCGAGGACUUGGGAUUUUGCUGCUGUUUGAUUUUUGAACACAAUGUCGUGCUCGCUGAGCUCGAUAGUCUACUUCGAUAAUCGUCCAGAUUGGUUGGUGUUCUGCAUUACUGUGCGUAGCGGUUGAUUCGUUAGUAAUUCGAUCGUGUGCGAUUGGAAGUAAGGACGCAGCUUCCUUGCUGACGUAAUAACUGCAAGAGCCAUUUUCUCGAGGGUGGGGUAUCGCGUUUCCGGAUUGGUCAUCCGCUAACUCGUGUAGAAGAUGGGCUUCUGCACUCCUCGAUCCUCUCGGAUAAGGAAACUGCUGACCGCGGUGGAGGAUACUGCGAUAUAAAGAGAGAGUGUAUCACCGGCUUCUAGUUUCGAUAACACGGGAGGAGUCGUAAGAUACUGUUUGAGUUGGUCGAAUGCCUCUUCGCACUUCUUGUCCCAGACAAAACGUUUGUUUCCGUGCAGUAGCUCGUAGAAAGGGAGGCAUUUAUCUGUGGACCUAGAGAUGAAGCGGUUCAAUGUUGCAAUCCUUCCCGUGAGUCGCUGAACUUCUCUGCUGUUCUUUGUACUAGGGAGAUCAAGUAUGGCUGGGAUCUGCCUAAGAUUCAUCUCGAUUCCUCGCUGGGUGACGAUGUAUCCCAAGAAUUCGCCUGAGGUGACGCCGAAGGUGCAUUUUUCCGGGUUGAGUUUCAUUCCGUACUCAUUCAGCGUUUUGAAGCAUUCUUUUAUAUGAUUUAGAUGUUCCGCCGCGCGGAGUGACUUAACCAGCAUGUCGUCGAUGUAGACCUCCAUCGUUUUCCCCAAUUUGUCGGCGAACAUUCGAUUGACGAGUCGUUGGUAAGUCGCACCGGCGUUCUUAAGGCCGAAUGGCAUCACUUUGUAACAGUACCUCCCUCUAUCGGUGAUGAACGCUGUCUUCUCUCGAUCGUCUAGGUGCAUCAUGAUUUGAAUGUAUCCUAAGAAGGCGUCCAUGAAAGUCAAGAGCUCGUUUCCAGCGGUCGACUCGACCAGUCGAUCGAUAUGUGGAAGUGGGUAGCUGUCUUUGGGACAUGCCUCGUUUAGAUCGGUAAAGUUGGCACAGACGCGCCACUUUCCGUUCUUCUUCUUGAAGAAGACCGGGUUUGCCAACCACUCCGGGUAUCAUACUUCGGCGAUUGAACCGGCUACGAGGAGUCGCUCGACUUCUUUGUUGACGGCCUUGCUUCGUUCGGGGCCAAGCUCGCGUCUCUUUUGGCGAAUAGGCUUGAUGGUUGGAUCUACAUUCAACUCAUGGGAUGUUAUGGCGGGAUUUAUUCCCCUCAUAGCUGACGUCACCCAAACGAACGUUGAUGCAUUCUGCUUCAGAAAGUCGAUCAUCACGCGUUGCAUUUCUUCGGAGAGGAAAGCGCCGACUCGGACUACUUUUUUUUGGUCUGAGUCGUCGAUCGCGACUUCUAGAAUUUCAUCUUUUUGAGGUUGAAUUUGCUUUGCUAUUGCGUUGAUGCGCGGAGUCGAUUGUUGCAUCUUCACCGUUGCAAUCAGUAGAUCACGUGCCGCCUGCUGGUCUCUGCGAAGUGUCUGCACUUGACCGUUCAGUCCUGGGAACUUCACGCACUGAUGAUACGUCGAUGAUAUUGCCUUCAUCGAAUGUAACCAGGGGGUCCCGAGGUGGAGCCUUUGUUCGGAUAACAGAAAACUUGACUGUGCGUGUUACUCCACACGCGUAGACUGGGAGCUUGAUCGUUCCGAUCAUCGUCUCGGAAGCUCCGUUGAAUCCGGUGAGGGAGCGAGACGACGGUUUCAUAUCGCGCAAAUCAACUCCCAUAUUAUCGAGUGUAUCGCGAAAGAUCAGAUCAACCGAACUGCCAGUAUCGACUAGAACUUUGGCGACGUCGCACUUCGCGAUUCCUACUUUGACGAGUAGGGGGUCGUUAUGAGGUAGGUGAACGCCGAUGGCAUCGUCAGAGGAGAAAGUGAUCGAGGGAUCAUUCUCAGGUUUCGAUGGCCAUUUCUUCGAGGUUACUGCAUGUCGUCGAUGGUCCUUGACUGACCGAACCGAGUCGCCGCAAGGGGGUGAGCCUCCCAUAAUCACGUUUAAGAAGGGGACUCGCUCGGCCCAUCUGUUUUGUAGAUGAACCCUUAGGUUGUUAGACGAGUCCUCGACAAUAGGUUCGUGUCCGUCACCGUUCUUAGCUUUCGUCAGCUCCAGCUUUCGUCGUAAGUCGGAACGUUUAGGUCGGUUGAGCUUGAUCCUGAGGUCUUCUAAUUUUGAGUUGAGCUGAUCGCGUAGGUCGACGACUCGUGGCUUGAGGUGGGGUCGAACACUGGAGUCUUCAAUUCUUUUAGCCUUGGACUCUUCGAUGAUUGAGCGAAGAUCGUCCUUAGAGUUGUGCAUGCGGUCGAGUGUAUGCGAUUUUCGCCUGAGCUUGUUUCUCAAAUCACUCGACUUUUCCGGUACGCCGUUCUCACUUGGUCGCUUGUUGGAGUGUUCUUACGAGUCGCGGACUUCGUUGUCCUCUUCUUCGUCCGAGGAGGAACUCGGUCGUGCGAAGAUGACUUGGACACGUCGACGGUUACAAGGUUGCUCUUCUUCGAUUUGUGCUUCGCCUUCGUCUUCGUCCUGCUCCUCUGGUUUAUCAUCUUCUGCGUGUUUGGGUCUGCCUUGUCUUGAUUUUUCUGAGCUUUCUUCUCUUUGUUCUUGUUCUUAGGAAGCUCGACGUUGGCUGUUCCGUUUUCGUAAGAUGAGAAGAGGGCGUCGACCAGAUGCUUGCAGUUCCUCGUAUCGUGCGCCUUGGACUUAUGGUAGUAGCUACACCAUANNNNNNNNNNNNNNNNNNNNNNNNNNNNNNNNNNNNNNNNNNNNNNNNNNNNNNNNNNNNNNNNNNNNNNNNNNNNNNNNNNNNNNNNNNNNNNNNNNNNAAGAAAAGGUGGAGACGAGAUUACACAAUCAAACUCGCAGCGAGGUCUCUGGAUUCUUGGUAUUCUAUGGAGAAAUUAAAGAUGAAAAAGAAGAGGGUUCACUCAAUUAGGGUUGAUAAACGAAGAAGGAACUGUCAAAUUUGGGAAAGUAGAUCUGAAUUUCAAAAUGUAAAGUUGGAGAGAGAAAUAUGUUGGUUUUCGAGAACUCAUAAAUCAGACAGAACAAUCAAUUGUUGAUAAACAUUAUAAAAAUAGAAUCAUGGUUAGGUGUCUCUGGUUAGUUUUACCUUGGUGUGAUCAAUAUUGAGGGCAUGAAAGAUAAUAACCACACAUAAAGUGCAUUGCCAGCAGGAAGUAUCUUAGGAAGUAAAAGUUUCUAGAAUAUAUCAAUGAGAUUCAUUGGGCUGAUAAGAAUACACGACUGAAAGGGUACAAACCCAUCACAGCUGGGCGCCUGCAGGUGGUGACACCAAUCACCAAUGAGAACAGAAGACCUCUCUUACGCAUAUAAAGCCCAAACUUAUUUGUGGUCCAUCAAAGCCUACCAAGAGUAUUAUUAAAAUCCGUAGCGGUCUUUCUUUUCAGAGUCCCACAUCGGUAAAGUGGGAGAACUGAGCAGCAAAGCUCGCACUAUAAAUAAACCUCUCCUACUAACUAUUCAAACCACGCAGCCAUGUGGUGAGCACAAAGCGAACUAUUCUUUCGCCUUUUACUAAAGAAUACCGUGUGCUCUCCACGCUAAGUGGCAUACGCCUAUUUUUGGAGGGUCCCACUUUCGAGUGGGCCCAACAACAUUUAGUUCAAAGUUUAUAUCAACAACGGUUUGUAUUUGAUUAACCGGCUUCGGUAUAAUACCUAGUCUCAAUUGGAUUACGCCGUUUUUCCUAUUUGUAGAUUAAGGCAAUGAAAUUUUGUUAAACCAUUUCCAAUUUCCUGCAGCAUUCAAAGCUUUUACAACGUCAUAUUUUUUCUCUCAGUUUACUCUUUUACCUGUUUCACUUUCCUUUACAUUAUCUGUUUCAUGUUCCACUGUUCGAAAACGAAUCUUUAAUUUGAUAUUAUACCAAUGAACGAUUCAAUCAUAUAAAUUUAGUUACAAUCGUGUAUCUCGUUAUUAUUUGUUCUUUGAUUAUAGACUGUAUAAACUGAACAUCUUGUUUAUCUAUUUUUGCUAGUAGACGUUUAUUAUCCUUGCUAUGGAUUCAUGAAUUAUCAUAGUGACCAUUGGGAUAGGUUCAGUUGUUAGUUAGUGUGCCAUCAAGAUAAUCACAGCGAACCUCAAUUGCCGUGGUCUCUGUAUUCAUAUCAUUUGGCAUUCAACACACCAAAUGUUGUCUACCUCUACUCUACUAGGCCGACCAUGUGUUUGAGGUUGUGACUAUUAUCACGCUAACUUCUUAGACUCCCUUGUCUAAGUUCGCAUGAGUCUUGUUUUAUACUUCCUUCAAAUCCAGGCCUUCAUCUUUUGAUAGAGAAAAUAAAUAUCGAUAUAUCACCGUAGGACAUAACGAGAUUUAGAUGUCAUAAAUUCCAAAAGGUACACACAGUCUUACAUUUUUUUAUUUAUUGAGUUUGCUUCUUCCAACUCAAAGCUAUAUUUACGACUCAUAAAACCCUGAAAAAUCUCACUAAUUUCUCAUGAGAAAGUAAAGUGUUGCUUUGCUUCAUUGCCUUAGUCCUCCUUUGCCGCAUCACCAUUUGCAACAUCCUUCUUCUCCGCGGUUUCUUCCGUUUUCUCUUCUAUGCUUCUAGAAGUUUCACCGUGGGCAACCUCGGCGGAAGCUUCUUCUACAGUGUUGGUAGAAGGUUCUGCACUUUCUUUGCCAUCUCCAUCAUUCUUCUGAAUGGUCCCGACUUUGACAUACUUGCUCAUGAACUUGUACUCCCAGUCUUGCAACGCAUCUAGCUCAAAUGGACCAAGACCAGAGAUGUCUCCGGUCAAAUCGGUUUCCUCAAAGGACAUCUUAGCAAGAGCUCGGCUUGCAUCUUUCCCUGCAAACAGAGCGUAUGGUCCACCUGGUCCAUAGAACAUCCUGCACAACAUUUAACAGAUGUGAUGUUGUCAGUAAGGAAAAGUAGAGUGAAUACAGAAAAAACUACACUUUAGGGUGGUCAUAUAUGUACUACAUACAUAUCUAGCUUAAAACACAUCUAGCUUAAAAGUCAUGGAACUAUGUAAAUGUGGAUAAUUAGAUUCAUACAAGUGCAACACAGAAGCAAAUUAAAAGCCAGACCUUUUAACGAACUUGUAUGUUAUCAUUCCCAAAGUAGGGAUCUUUAAGCUAUAACUUGAAUACAAGAAAAGCAAUGAUAAAACACUCUGAAACAAAGGAGUGAAUAUUCACAUACAUACUAAGCUCACACACCAAACAAGUUAGGGACCAACAAAAACUACCAAAAGUUAACAGCUUUAUGACAAAAUAAUUAACAAGUAGAACCACAUCAUCAAAUCAGAGACUCUGAUCGUCUUCUUAAUAAAAAAAGGAGCAAACCUGCUCUGGGAAACAUCGUAGAUCUGGCCUUUGAUGGCCAUGAGAAGGGGCUUUUUUGAAUCUGAGCCGUCGUACUGCUUAAGCUCCUCCUCCGUGAUUUCUCCGAGCUGAACCGGAGGCGGAAGGGGCUCCGGCUGAGGGUAAUCCUCCGUGGAGCGAGGACGGUGUUCCCCGGGAGAGACGAAGAAGCCGGAGACGACUUGAUAGACUGCGAAAGCGAGAGCUAAGACGGUGAAAAACGCCGCCGGAGAGAGUCCGGUGUAAGCUGUGAUGGUUUCCUUUACCGUCUCCCAUAAUUCAACCACCAUGACUAAUCCAAUCGAAAGAGAGGGGGAGAGAGAGAGAGAGAGAGAGAGAGAGAAUCGGUGGUGGUCACUGGUUUAGAGCCAAACAGUCCGUAACGUUUGUUUCUUUUUAUUACAAGGAAAAAUCAAAAUUUCCUCUUAAUUUAAUCGGUGGUGGUCACUGGUUUAGAGCCAAACAGUCCGUAACGUUUGUUUCUUUUUAUUACAAGGAAAAAUCAAAAUUUCCUCUUAAUUUAUAAUUAUUCUCUAUAAUUACACAUAAUUUAGAUCUUAUUAAAAAACAUAAAUGGUCAAUUACGCAACAAAAAUUAAAAACAGAGCUGUCAAUAAAUGACCGUUGAUUUUCAAGGUAGAACAGCUGGAAAAUGUUUUUUUUUUCUUUAAUAAUCUACAAAUAUUGUAUGUGAUCUUAUAAAUUCAUAAACGUUUUAAAGAAGAUAGUUACACCUAACAAAUGGUGGUUUAGUUUAAUAAACGGUGCCGUUAUUGCCGCCUUGAGAUGAGUAGUACUAGUAGGUGAGAAGUAGAUGAUACCAAAACAAAAUGUGACUCUUAUCUUCUCUUUGUUCUAUAAAAUUUAAAACAUGUGUCCAAAUAUAAUUGGGCUUCUUUAUAUAUAUGUAGAACCACCAAUAAAGAACUGGAAGUUGUAUAGCAUAUAUUUAUAUGAGAGAUUAUAAAACUAUAUAUAUUAUAUAUAUUCAGUAUCAAAACUAUCAUAUUUUUUUCAACCAAACUAUCAUUUUUAAAUCUACAUUUUUAGUGUACAUCAACAUUUAUUCAGCGGUAACUAUUGAUAAAAAAAAUCAAAUAAAAACUAUGCGGAGUUUAAAACUGUUAACUUACUUUCCUACUCAUACUUAAGGCUGAUUUUAAGCAAGAGCUUUGAAGUUAUAAUCUCAGGUUCUUUUAUUUACUAGGUGUUUUCUUCCAUCAUGUGCAAUUAAUAAAAUAUAAUUUAAAUUAUAUUUUAAAUUUUUUUUAUUAAUAUUUUAAAAUUUAAUAUUUUCUUACCUUUGUUCUAUAUUGAAUUGCAAAUACAAAAAUGAUAGAAUCUUUGUUGAUUAUACUAAAUUAAUAUGAAAGGGCUAAAAAAACUGAAAGAAGAUACCAAAGAAAAAAAAUAAGCAUCUAUAUGUAAUUUGUAAUAUAAAUUUUGAUUUUAUUAAAGAUAGAUAAGAUAAAAUAAAUACUUCUAUUAUAAGCAUCUAUAUGUAAUUUGUAAUAUAAAUUUUGAUUUUAUUAAAGAUAGAUAAGAUAAAAUAAAUACUUCUAUUAUUUUAAUUUAUAUUUAAUAAUAUAUAUAUAUAUAUUUAAAAUUAUAAUUUUAGAUAGAUUUUUAUCUAUUUAUAUUGGUUAACAUAUGAUUAAAUCAACCUGUAUAAAAUUAAGAAAAAAAGUUUGCUAAAAAAAUUAUAUAAUUAUCAAAAAGUAAAAGUAAAUAUUAUUUCUAAAAUUUGUAGAUACCAAAAGGAAACUAAUGGUAUUAGGAUUAAAAAUUUAUUAUUUUUUAAUAAAUUGCAUAAAAUUUUAAAAUUUGUAAAAAUAUUGUUAUAUUUCUUUUAUUAUAUUAUUUAAUGUUAUAUUUGAAUAUUUGAACAUAUUUACUUUAAUGAUGAUUUAUUGGUUAUUAUCUUAUUGUAAGAAUUUUACCAAAAGUAUAAAUCAACAUUAAAUGUAAUUAUAUAUGUCACAAUUAGAUAUAAGUCAUGUCAUAAUUGAUAGUAUGUCAUGUUAUUUUUUUAGUGAAAAUGUUUGUGGAAAUGACACAUAAUUUUUUUUGAAAAAUCACAAUCUUUAGGGAAUUGGAGAGACCGUAUCUUUUUUUGUAGGGUUUGGUAAUUUAAUCUCUAAUUCACACAAUCUUAUAGCUUCUUUUACAUAUUCACUUUCAUAUAUCAGAUAAACUCUUAAGAUUUGUAAGCGAACUGAAGAACAUUAUAGAAUAUACUCUAAAAUGUUAGAAGAUAAAGAUCAAAAUAAGAUGAUUAUCCAUCUUAGACACAUGUCUUUCUUACAGCAAUCAUGUCAUCUAUCACCUUUUAGUAUUUUAUCUUUUUCUAGUAAAGCAACCGACUUAUGUGUAAUAUAAAUAGCAUUCAUUCUCUUUACUUUGUACGUACAACAAGAAGAAGAGUUUAUAAUAAAAAAAAGAAUCAUUUGCUCUUAUCUCUCAUUACUCUCCAGCAUAAAUAUAUAUAUAAUAACUAUAAGCAAAGCUAUAGUUAUCUAUUUACUCCUUUUUAUUUACAACACGUUAUCAGCACGAAGCUCUGACCAACUGAGGUUUAUCAAUCCGAAAGUUCUUAAACCAGUCGAGGUAAUAUUUAAAUUUAUAUGUUUCAAUAUACUUAAUUUAUUUAAAUUUUAUUAUUGUUCCGGAGUGAGAGGUUAGGCCUUUUCCGUUUAUUUUUCGGGAUGAUAGACGAUGUCUUUCCCGACUGAUCGUUAUGGUAGGCUAUGCCUUCACGAUCAGAUGAUCACGUAUUCACGUGGUAGGAUUUACCUCCGUGAAUUGAAAAAAAAAAGAUCACGUGGUAGGCUUUGCCUCCGUGAAAUGAAAAAAAAAGAUACGUGGAAGGCUUUGCCUCCGUAAAUAAAAAGAAAAGGUCAAAAAUGGUAGACUAAGUCUCCUCGGACCUUGAAAUAAGUAAAAGUCAAAAUGGUAGAUCAUGUCUCCUCGGACUUUGAAAAAUGAUCAAUAUGGUAGUCUUUGACUCCUCGGAUCAUGUGGUAGGCUAAGCCUCCUGACUUUAUUUAUGCUAUUUAAAUUUCUGCAAUUUAAUUUACGCAUUUAUUUUAUGCCUUCAAUUUCUGCAUUUUAAUUCUCGUCUUUAUUAUAAUAUUAUUCUAUGAAUAAUGUUAUCAUGUGAGUUUUGACAAAGCUCAAAAUAGGUGCCCUUGGUAUUACGAGAAAUAAUUAUAAGACUUGGGCAGUGGGUGCAAAUAUGCACCUGAGAAAAAAUGAGCUUUGAGAAAUCAUCGAUAAAUUGAAACGAUAUCGGAUGAGAAAAGAAUAAAGCCAUGAUAAUUUACAUCACUUCAAUGAUGGUUUAUAAGAUGAGGUGUAUCAUGAGAAAAGAUCUAGAAGAUCUUUGAAUAAUUAAAUCCUUGAAAGAAAGGAUUCAAUAAAUAGUUGGAGUUGAUGAAAAUCCUCCUUGAAAACUAAAAAUAAGGGAAAUGAAAUCAUGAUACUAAACCAUCAAGUCGGUCCUAUUAGAAAAGGACGAGGGUGUAGAUACGGUUGAAACCCCCUAUCGUGGUCGUGGAAGUGGACGAGGAAGAAUAUUCCGUCCAUGCGAAAUAGUUAGAACUUCCACGAAAAUAAAAGUGGUCGGGUGAUAAAAGGCAAACAUAAAAGGUUUGCUAUAGAUACGGCUAGAAAGAAAAUUGGGUACGUAGUUGUCGUAUGCCAAAGAUUUAGCCGAUCUAUAUCGAGAAUCAAAAAGAAAAAGAGAAAGGAAGUAUAUUAAACUUUUUCUCUUAUGAGCCCGAACCAUCUUUCAUAGUUUGAAUACUCAUCUUGAUGUGAUAGACUUUCUCGGUGAACCAGAGAGUAUCAAUGAUAUAAUGAUUAUCUUCCUGAAGAAGAUUUUGAGAUUCAGGAUGGAGAUAGAAAUACUUGGCAGAUAUUGGAUCAUCGUACAUGACUAAUAAAGGUAACAAAUAUUUCUUUUCUCUCAAAAUAAAUAAGUAUAGUAUCUAGUAAUAUAAAAAUUAUUAUUGCUCUAGAGGAGCUUAUGAUGAAAAGACAUGCAUAAAAAAAAAGAUGGCAAAAUUAUAAACGAGUGGUAAACCUGGAGUUUACUGAUAUAUAGCCAUCUCCAAUAAUGUUAUCGACAUUAUUGUGAAAUGUUGAAAAACUAGAAGUUUUUCACAUAUAGCAUGUCAAAAAAAUAAAGGAAACCAUCAUGGUGAUGAAUCAUCAAACAAGUUCACAAUAUGUGAUUUCUUUAAGCAGAUCCCAAAUUAAGAUCUCACUCUAAAGGAUUUGAAACAUAAUUCAUCCCAAAUGGGAAAACUGAAUAUGUUAUUGGUUCUAGAGUGGGAUUCAGUACGAGAUUUUAGACAUGGAGUGUCAUCAUCUCGAGGGGGAGAAUUAAAGAAUCCUAAUGAGUGGAACAUUGAAAAAUUAUGUUCGCACUUGAAAAAGAACUUGAUAAAGUAAAUUCAAGUAAGAUGAUCCCCAUGAUUGGGUGUAAACAUGCAGUUGUGCAUGUAAUAAAGACAUAUACAAUCCAGAGGGAUAAAGUAUAUGGAUACUUAGAAAUAUGCUCGCAAGUUUGCUAGAAGCAUAUGAUAAGCUGAUGGAAUGAGAUAUGUGAAAUGGAUUACAAUGAAAAGUAGAAUAAUCCAUUUACAAAAUGCCUGCCAGACAUUUUGAUGAAAUAAUGAUAUCUCAUAUUCCAGCUGAAAAUGCUCCAAUAAGAAAAUAGUGUCCUAAACGGACGAUAUAUGAGUCUAUAGCACGCUAGAGACGUGAUAGACCACUUUGGUUCCAAAGAGUCCUCGAAAAGGAGAAAAAAUAUAAAUAGAGGAUGAAUCUCAUGAUGAGACCAUUGAUAUGGUUAAUAUAACAGUCAGGUACCUGGGUAAAUCAUCAAUGAUGAUAAAGAGAUCUCGAUUAACCAUAUCAGUACGGAUAAAAAUAUGGAAUCAAAGAGAAAAUAGAUUGUCGACAAUAAAUAAAUGAAAAAGCGCUAUAAAAAUAAAGAUUAUGAAUCUACCUCUAUAUAUGAGGGUAGAGUGAAUUGAUUGGCCAUCAAUUCGAUAUAAAGCUCGUUAGAAUAACGAGAGAUUUUUGGACCAAAAGUCCAAGGUAUAUAUUUCUCCAAAGAAUGUAAUGAAAGAUGACCUUGAGGUAUGAAAAGCGGCUUGUUCCAAGGUCACUGGAGAAAAUUUAAAAUAGAUGCAAUAUAUUAAAAUGUCUGGCAGGAAAAAAAAUAACUUGAGUUGCAUCUUGAUUUUUAGAACUCCCUGGAGAGUUAAAAAUGCUCUCGGGAAUGUAUAAAACAAACUCUAGAAGAGUUAGAACAAGCAGUAUAUAAGGUAUCUUGAACCGGUAACUGAUGAUAUGUUUACGGCACGAUUUGCCGAUUGCCAUUUUAAUGAGAAUGAAUUCCAGCGUUAGGGGGAGGAAUUUGAGAAAUUCCUAAAUAAAUUACAUGGUGUACACAUUUGUUGUUACACUUUGGUUCCCCUACAAAUCAAAGAAGAGCUGGAAGUUCAGGAAAUUGUGCAUUUGAAUAAUUUGGCAAACUAGUUACCAAAUGUGUUCACAGAUACAACAUGAUAUACCCGCUGAAAAUGUUCCAUCAAGAGUUGAUGUUCCUAAAGAACAAACUGAUGGAAAUAAAAUGAAUGAACCUAGGGUUCAGUUAAAGAAGGGGAGACUAGCGGGUUCUAGAGAUAAAAAUCCCCGAAAGAAUUUGGUUGAGAAAAGUUGCAAGGUUCCUGGAGAACCUGAUACUGAAAAAUGUCUGAAAGAAGACAUAAGUGGAAAGGUUGAAAGAGAACCUGAUACUGAAAGAUGUCUGAAAGAAGGCAUAAAUGGUAAGGUUCCAGAAGAACCUGAUACUGAAAAAUAUCUGAAAGAAGGCAUAAAUGAAAAGGGUCAAGAUGAACCAAAUAAAGAUGAUCCAGAUGACGAAAAGGGAAUAGAAAAGUAUGAGAUUUCCAUCAACUACACCCUUAAUGAAAAGUUAUAAGAUAAAAGAUGUUGAUGGAAUGUUCUCUUUUUCUGUGUCCAAAGUGAUCGAUCAUAAAAGUGAUCCCGAUCGAAGGUCCAUUUUGGAAUGUUAAAAAGACAUGAUUGGGAGGAGUGGCAGAAGGCCAUUCAAAUUGAAUUAUUCUCCCUAAAGAAAAUGAAUGUCUUUGGACCUAUAGUCAUAACGUCUGAGAAUAUAAAUCUUGUUGGGUAUAAGCGGGUAUUCGUGAGAAAAGUAACACGAUAUAAAACCUGAUUAGUUGCCCAAGAUUUUUCUCAGAGACCAGGAAUUGAUUUUGAGGAAACGUAUUUCCCAGUAAUGGAUGCAAUUACGUUUAGAUUUUUGAUGAGCCUAACGGCGUCAAAAAAUCUUGAGAUGCAACUCAUGGACGUUGUGACUGCAUAUUUGUAUGGAUCGGUGGAUAACGAUAUAUAUAUGAAACUUCCAGAGGGAUUGAAAAUGCCAAGGGCAUUGAAAGAAAAAUCCAGGGAGAUUUGUUCGGUCAAGUUACAGCGAUCACUUUACGGAUUAUAGCAAUCCGGACGCAUAUGGUACAAUCGCUUAAGUGAAUAUAUCUUGAAAAAUGAUAUGUUAAUAAUGCGAUAUGUCCAUGCGUUUCUAUAAAGAAAUUGCCAUCUGGCUUUGUGAUCAUUGUUGUAUAUGUAGAUGACCUGAACAUAAUUGGAACUCAAAAGGAGGUUGAUGAUGCUCGAACUCAUAUGAAAGAGGAGUUCGAAAUAGAUCUCGGCAAGACAAAGUUUUGUCUUGGGCUCCAGAUAGAGCAUUUCCGAGAAGGAAUAUUUGUGCAUCAAUCAAACUAUACAAAAAGGUUAUUGAAACGCUUUUGUAUGAAUAAAGUGACUCCUUUGAGUACUCCAAUGGUAAAUAGAUCUCUCGAUAUGAAAGAGAUGUUUAAAAGAUCCUGUAAGAUCUUAUAUAAAUAAGUACUUUGGAGAUGCUAAUAGUAAUAAAGCAUUUGUGAGCUUAUAUGUCUUGCAAGUUGUAUUUGAUAAAAUAUAGUUUUAGACACUAAUGUCUUUGCAAGAUAUAGUUUCCUAUUUAUGGAAAUUAGAAUGGCAUCGAGAACAUGUCAGUUCUCUCCAAGGUACGUAUUUAUUUAGGAUUGAUUUAUCCUAGAAACCCCGAGUUUGGUAUGGUUUUGCAGAUACAUGCUAUUUAUAAAGUCGAACGCAAACCGGAUAUGGUUUUACAACUGGUGGAACCGCGAUCUCUUGGCGGUCCCAGAAACAAACUCUGGUUGCAACAUCUUCAAAUCGUGCAGAGACUAUUGCGCUUCACGAAGCAUGUCGAGAAUGUGUGUGGCUUCGGUCAAUGAGUCCCCACAUACAAGAAUCAAACAGAUAGUCAACGAAAAUGAGCCGACGAAAAUUUUUGAAGAUAAUUCGGCUUGUGUUGCUCAACUCAAGGAAGGCUACCUUAAGAGCGACAGAACAAAGCACAUCUCUCCAUGAUUUUACUCGUACAUAAGGAAAUUCGAGAAAAAUAAAGAAGUGGACAUCGAGUAUAUACGGUCAUGUAAAAAUCCGGCUGACUUGUUUACCAAAACUCUUCCGACUACAACAUUCUGAAAACACGUUUACGGUAUCGGAAUGCGACGUUUGCGUGACCUGUGAAGAUAAGGCUAUGUCCAUUAUUCUCAGGGGGAGAUUACGUCACAGUACUCUUUUUUCCUUAUCAUGGUUUUUAUUCCAUCGGGUUUUUCCAUGACUAGGUUUUUAACGAGGCUGUACGUAAUACAAGACGGAUAAUCAAGGGGGAGUGUUAGAAGAUAAAGAUCAAAAUAAGAUGAUUAUCCAUCUUAGACACAUAUCUUUCUUACAGCAAUCAUGUCAUCUAUCACCUCUUAGUAUUUUAUCUUUUUCUAGUAAAGCAACCGACUUAUGUGUAGUAUAAAUAGCAUUCAUUCUCUUUACUUUGUACGUACAACAAGAAGAAGAGUUUAUAAUAAAAAAAGAAUCAUUUGCUCUCAUCUCUCAUUACUCUCCAGCAUAAAUAUAUAUAUAAUAACUAUAAGCAAAGCUAUAUUUAUCUAUUUACUCCUUUUUAUUUAUAACAUAAAAGAGUUUAAUUGUGAUAUAUUUUAUUAGUAGUCUAGGCUUGGAGGCUUCUUUAUACGUGUACAUAAGCUUUCUCGAGCGUUGAAAACUUGCACACUUUCUUAUCAUUCUAGGGGGUUACAGCGUUGGGCCAGAUCAUCUUCUGCUAAACUUCUUCAUGAAGAAGGGGAUGGUGUUGCAGCUCGUGUCUUGGAGAGUUUGGGUGCAGAUCAUAGUGAAAGCAAGUUACUGAAUGCAUCACCUCUUGAAUUCUCACAAUCAUUGUUAUGACUUAGGAACAAACUCUUGAUUGCCUUUUGAGCAUAAUUGAAAUCUAUAUUAUUAAAACUGAAGUACAUUUUGGUACUGUUUGGAAACUUAGAUAGUAGAUUAAAUGAAAGUUGUUUGGAAACAAGGAUAGCAGAUUAAAUAUUUUUUUAUUUACAUAUUUAGUCACUGUAUUUUUUUCUCAUUUACAGAUUCUGUCGUUUGGAAACUUGGAUAGCAGGUUAAAUGAGAAAUGUUUGGAAACACGGUUAACAGAUUAAAUAUUUAUUUUUAUUUACACAUUUAGCCAUUGCAUUUCUUUCUUAUUUACAAAUCUGCCACUUCAGUUAAAAUAAAAAAAUUAAAUUAAUUACAAUGAAUUGUUAUUUCUUUUUGCUGAAAAUAAAAACGCAAACUGUAAUAUAUAGUAUAUAUUAAUCUGCUACAAUACAAUUUUCAAGAAAACCAAAUAUCAUAAAAUUAAUAAUAAUUCAUAAAAACCUACAGUAAAAAAUAAAUAAUUUUUAAAUAAAUAAACAAAAAAAAUCAAUAGGUUAAUAUAUGAAUAUUACAUUUACAUCAAAUUGCAUCAAGUUAUAAAAUUAUAAAUAUAAUAUUACGUACAAAUAAAAAUUAUUAUCAAACAUCUAUAUUAUAAUAUAAUAUAUUCUACUCUAAAUAUAUUUACAAAACAUAAAAAUAUAAAUGGACAUUUUAUAAAAUCAAUGGUUUAUAAAUUUACACUGAACGCAAGUUAAAUCCAACACCCGCGCGGGGGGCGCGGAUCAAGAUCUAGUUAUUUAUUAUUCUUAAGGUUGGUGAUAUAUAGUAUUGACAUAAAAUACAAAUUUUACUAUUUUAGGCAUUUGCCUACAUCUAUAUAUACACACAACAACAGAGAGUAAAAGAUGAAGUAGCAAAGUUUGACAGAGACAAAUAAUAUGAGAAAAAACAUUAAAGAUGAAGAGAGCUCACUUCAUCAACCUUCCAGUCAUCUUCUUCAUACUUAUACCAUCUAACAAUCCCUUCAUCAUUCUCAGUCCUCUGACACAUGACACAAGUCUCAUGCUCCAUACAAGUCAAGAACCUCUUCAGCCUCGAAGCUUUCUCAAGUAUCACCUCAUCGAGCUCUCUCACAAUCACUUUCUUCUGCGGCUGCCACCCACUCAACUCCACAAGGUAAGAGUGAGAUAUGUUGAGCACCUCAAGAUCCUUUAACCCGUCAAGGAUUUUGAUCAGUGCCUCCCUAUUUAUCGAAGAGCAUCUAAGGCUGAGAGUUUUGAGGUUAGGGAGGCAGCUGAUGAGGGUGUCUGCAAAGAAGAUCUCGAAUGGACCCAUGAUCUUUAACUCCUUGAAGUUGUUGCAGUUGUUGGCGAUCUCUGUGAAGAGGUAAGGCGGGUUUGCGAUGCUAGGCAUUGUUAGUGACUCGAGAUCUUUCCAAAUCCUUAUGGCUUUGCAUAUCCCAGUCUUCUUUAUUCUGUUCCAAGCUGGUAAGACGAGUCGUCUCAGCCCUGGACACCUGCAAAGACAACGGAUACACUUUUUUUUUUAGUAUUAAGAAGAAGAUUCAACUCAGUUACAAGGCAUAUUACCGUUCAGCGGUGUAAGUAAGCUGAUCAUCACUCAAGAACAAGUUGAAAUGGAAAGCCAAGGUCCUCGUGUUCCCUCCGCUAAGAUUCAUGGAGAGUUUGAGGAUGCGAGUGAGGGACUCAUCAGAGCGACGUUCGACGUAGACAUAAGGCUCCAGUGGGAUCUUGAUGAAGCUAGAUCUCAUGUGUGACAAAUCAAGAGUCUUCCAGAGGAUGGGAUCGCAACAAACAGUUCUCCAUACACUACAAACACGAGCUAGUUCAAAGACGCUGAACUUGUGGAAAAUCUUCACUAAGAUGUCUGUGUCCAACUCUUCCCAUCUCCUUAACCGACGACUCUCAUACUCUUCUUCCAUUUUUUUUGCUUUCUUGAUUAUGAUUCCCUAAGCAACAAGUAGUAGAACGUUUAUUAAAAAAAAAAACACACUUAUCCUUCGCAUGAAUUCAAUGGUUCCGUAAGAUAUUGCUAAAUAGGGAAAAAAAUCAAAUUUAUAAAAGACCAAUCAUUGAUUGCUAUCAGAUAGUAGAAAGCAAACGAAACGUUUUCACAAAAAAAAAUUGAAAGAUCUUUUUCCUUAAACGGGUAACCUCUUUGUUAGAAACAGAGUAUUAAGACUUUUUUAUGAAAGUUGACAAUAAAAAAGAAAAGAAAGACUCUUUUAUGAAAAGCUAUCACCCUGAAGGAAAACUCGUUAAACAAGGAAUCUGAAAUCAAACAUAGAACCAAUGAACCUAAACUUGUCGAAGAAACUGAAGAUUGGGCCAUUAUUAAACUCAGAGGUAGGAAGACAGAAUUAACACGAAACUGUACGUAAAGACAGAGAAUAGAUCGAAAACCAACUAAUCGAUCUGAUGUCUAUCGACAUUCCUUAGAGUUUAGACGAACUGACAUAGAUCCUGAAUCCCCAUUUCUCAAUUCAAAAUCGAGAUGAAAACUAAGAAAUGAUUAGAUCAAAAGACAAGGAAGUUUAAACACACCCAAAUGGUAGAGUAGAGCAAACGGUCGAUGAUGACAAAUUGACAACUAAGCUCUCUCUAGCCAACGAAAGUAGAUAUGAAAAAAAUAAACAGUACCGGUUUUAUUUGGUUUAUUUAUUUUAUGUCUUUUGGAUUUGGUUUCCAGACAAAACCGGUCUCUCUCGACACGAACCCUUUCCUUCCUUAUCCUUCAGACCGAAAUUCUCAUUAUUGGGUGGGGGCUGACUUGGUAAUUUAAUCCGACGGUGGAAAACACUUAGUAGUAAUCCAACGGUGAGUAUUAGGUAGGUGAGAUGAUAUGGACGGCGGCGAUGCGUGUAGAAGACGAGAGAAGAGAGCGAUAAAAAGAGAGAAAGAAAGAAAUCUUUAUUUGUUUUCGUCUUCGCUUUCCUAUCUCUUUCCUUCCCCCACACGGGCCGACCAUUAAAAGAGAGUCUCUCUCUCGCACUUCUCCAUCCAAAGGGCCAAAGGCGUAGUAGAUAGGUAAAACUUUAAAACCCUUUCCUUUCCUUUCCUUUGCUACUUACUCACUCUUUCUUUUUCUUCAAUUUUUGUUUUUUUUUUCUCUCACAGAAGAAAGCUUCCGUCUUUCUGCUGUGUGAACUUUUAAGGUGGAGUUUUCUAUUUCUCCUAAGUCUUUUGGUGGUUUCAUUUUGAUUUUUAUGAAUCUGGCUACUCUUCAUUUGAUUUGAGAAAAAAAAAUAUGCUGACUUUGAGAUUAGGGUUUGUGUGAAUUCCUGUAUCGAUUUGUUCAUAAAAUGAAUGCUUGGUAGUUGAAGUUACUUUACUAUUUUGGUUGCAUUGCCUCUAAGAAUGCUUUUGAGAUUAAGCUUUGUGAUACUCUUCUGCUAUUUUUAUGUGCCUAUGCUGUUUCUAUCAAGAGGAUGAGUAGCUUUAGUAGCCUUUGACUUGCUGCUGAUUUACUCAACUAUUGCAAGAUAACAUAUUAACACUUGUUGGAUUUGGUCAAGUAUAAGUGAAAGGUUACACAAAGCUUUUUGAUUGCCUUUUAGUUUUUUUUUUUUUAAAAUGAGUUUAUGAUGUUUUCCUCGUGGUCUUAGUCUGUAUAGAGCUAAAACUAAUGACUUAUUACCAUUACGCAAUGCAGCCUCCAACUCUUGCAUCAUGGCUAGGCUCUUGGCUAAUUCUACAUCCCGUUCUUUACUUGGUUCCGGAAGAGACUUUCAGUCAGAAGACUACAGAAAACCAAGAAGAUGUGUGAAGAUGAUGUACACUUCUCAAACAUCCGUUUUGAGUAUCCAGAGCUUCUCUGGUUUAAGGGCUUCCAAUGCGCUGGAUCGGGUGGCAAGGCCUAGCCACGACUUUUUCGGUAAGGUUAACCUUCAAAUGUCUUCUUCCCGGAGAGAAAAAGCUAGCCGAGGUGUAACAAAAGCCAUGUUUGAGCGGUUUACCGAGAAAGCAAUCAAGGUCAUCAUGCUGUCUCAAGAGGAAGCUCGGAGGCUUGGCCAUAACUUUGUUGGCACUGAGCAAAUACUGUUGGGACUGAUUGGGGAAGGCACUGGAAUCGCUGCAAAGGUUCUUAAAUCCAUGGGGAUCAAUCUUAAAGAUUCUCGUGUGGAGGUGGAAAAGAUCAUUGGAAGAGGCAGUGGUUUUGUGGCUGUGGAGAUCCCAUUUACUCCUCGUGCAAAGCGUGUCCUGGAGCUCUCACUUGAGGAAGCUCGCCAACUUGGUAAAUGAUCCCAUUUACUUUCUUGACUGAUGAAACUCAACACGUUUUGACUUGUUUUUGUUAUUUUGGAUAAUAGGGCAUAACUACAUUGGGUCAGAGCAUCUUCUGCUUGGUCUUCUUCGUGAAGGGGAAGGUGUUGCAGCUCGUGUCCUGGAGAAUUUGGGUGUAGAUGCUAGCAACAUCCGGACGCAGGUAAAUGCAUAAACUCUGAAUCAUUUAAUGUCUUUGGUAAACAAUAUCUUGAAUACAUUUUGAGUAUAUAUAUAUAUAUUUUUUGUCAGGUUAUACGUAUGGUGGGAGAAAACAAUGAAGUGACGGCAAGCGUGGGUGGAGGAUCUAGCGGAAACAGCAAAAUGCCAACACUAGAAGAGUAUGGGACCAACUUAACUAAACUAGCAGAAGAGGUAAUCAAAAAUAGCUUACUCCAAUAUUCAUCUUGAAGAAACUCUCAAGUGUAAUAUUAAUACUUGAUUGAAUGCUUUUUUUCUGAAAUUUGUGUGUCUUAACUCUCUGUUCCAGGGUAAACUGGAUCCAGUUGUUGGAAGGCAGCCACAGAUAGAAAGAGUGGUCCAGAUCUUGGCUCGAAGAACCAAGAACAACCCUUGUCUUAUUGGAGAACCUGGAGUUGGUAAGACAGCAAUAGCUGAAGGACUCGCACAGAGAAUUGCCAGUGGAGAUGUCCCUGAAACAAUUGAGGGGAAGACGGUAAAUAUUCUCCCAUUGGAUCAUUGUUUUAAAGAUGCUGUGAAGUUUGCACAUGUAUAUAUGUUUUAAAGUAUUUACCGCGUACAUUUUGUUUGUCCAGGUGAUAACCCUUGAUAUGGGUCUUCUUGUGGCUGGAACGAAGUACCGUGGAGAAUUUGAAGAAAGGUUGAAGAAGCUGAUGGAGGAGAUCAGACAAAGUGAUGACAUAAUCCUGUUUAUUGAUGAAGUGCACACUCUGAUCGGUGCAGGAGCCGCUGAAGGUGCCAUUGAUGCUGCUAACAUCUUAAAGCCAGCUCUUGCAAGAGGUGAAUUGCAGGUAAGAUUGAUUUUAUUUCUUUCUUUCUAUUGGUCAAAAUGUAAACUAAUAGAACCAUAAAUAAGUUUUUGUUUUAACGGUUGUUGUAGUGUAUUGGUGCAACAACAUUGGAUGAGUACAGGAAGCACAUUGAGAAAGAUCCUGCACUGGAGAGACGGUUCCAGCCUGUCAAAGUACCUGAACCAACUGUAGACGAAGCUAUACAGAUCUUGCACGGUCUGCGUGAGCGUUAUGAGAUCCACCACAAGCUCCGCUACACUGAUGAAGCUUUGGUUGCUGCUGCGCAGUUGUCACAUCAGUACAUCAGGUACUCUUGUUUUCUCUAUUCUCACUCUUUCACCAACACACAACAUGUUGAAUCAAUUUCUCAACCUAUUCUAUUCUCUUGAAUGAACAGUGACCGGUUUCUUCCCGACAAAGCCAUUGACUUGAUUGAUGAAGCUGGAUCUCGGGUUAGGCUGCGUCACGCUCAGGUUUGUGUUUGAAUGUUUCUUGCAUUAUCAGAAAGCUACCACUUAUAUAUCUCUAUUGGAGUUGGUUGAGGAUGGAAAUUUUUGUUUACUUAGGUCCCUGAGGAAGCUAGAGAGCUUGAAAGGCAACUCAGACAGAUCACUAAGGAGAAGAAUGAAGCUGUAAGAGGCCAAGACUUUGAGAAGGUAUUGUCUUAGAGUUUUUCUUAGUAUUGAUGAAUCCAAGAUUAGUUGUUAGAAGUCCCUGAGUUCUUCUCCAACAGGCUGGUUCUCACCGGGACCGGGAAAUAGAGCUUAGAGCCGAGAUAGCUGCUGUUUUAGCCAAAGGCAAAGAAGUGAACAAAGCUGAGACUGAAGCUGGCGAGGAAGGGGGACCUACUGUCACUGAAUCCGACAUCCAACACAUUGUCUCCACCUGGACAGGAAUCCCAGUAGAGAAAGUCUCCUCUGAUGAAUCUAGCCGUCUUCUCAAGAUGGAGCAGACUCUUCACACAAGAGUCAUUGGCCAAGACGAAGCCGUCAAAGCCAUUAGCAGGGCCAUCCGACGUGCACGUGUUGGACUCAAGAACCCGAACCGGCCAAUAGCAAGUUUCAUCUUCUCUGGUCCAACCGGUGUGGGGAAAUCAGAGCUUGCCAAAGCCUUGGCUGCUUACUACUUCGGCUCAGAGGAAGCAAUGAUCCGUCUGGACAUGAGUGAGUUCAUGGAGCGACACACCGUUUCGAAACUCAUUGGUUCGCCUCCUGGUUACGUAGGAUACACGGAAGGAGGUCAGCUAACGGAGGCGGUUAGACGCAGGCCCUACACGCUUGUCCUCUUCGACGAAAUAGAGAAAGCUCAUCCUGAUGUUUUCAACAUGAUGCUUCAGAUCCUAGAAGAUGGCAGACUAACUGACAGCAAAGGAAGAACGGUUGAUUUCAAGAACACGCUUCUGAUCAUGACAUCAAACGUAGGAAGCAGCGUGAUUGAAAAGGGUGGUAGAAGAAUCGGGUUUGAUCUCGACUACGACGAGAAAGACAGCAGCUACAACAGAAUCAAGAGCCUAGUGACUGAGGAACUGAAACAGUAUUUCAGACCAGAGUUCUUGAACAGGUUGGAUGAGAUGAUUGUUUUCAGACAGUUGACGAAGCUGGAAGUGAAGGAGAUUGCUGAUAUAAUGCUUAAAGAAGUGGUGGUGAGGCUUAAGGACAAGGAGAUUGAGCUUCAAGUGACUGAGAGGUUUAAGGAGAGAGUGGUGGAUGAAGGGUUCGACCCGAGCUACGGUGCAAGGCCGCUGAGAAGAGCGAUUAUGAGGCUGUUGGAAGAUAGCAUGGCGGAGAAGAUGCUUUCAAGGGAGAUUAAAGAUGGAGACUCUGUGAUUGUUGAUGUUGAUGCUGAAGGAAGUGUGGUUGUGUUGAAUGGUAAGAACGGAAGUGGUGACGGUUUUGUUGCUGAAGAAGCCAUGGAGGAUCCAAUUCCUGUGUUGUAGAAGGGAAGAGGAGAGUUCUAGAGAUUUUAUUUUUCUUCAUCUCUUUGAAGUGUUGUUGGUUGAACUGUCUCAUUUGAUUUUGUUUUUGCAUUUUUAAAUUGUUUCUGGAUAUUGAUUGCUCGGGAACCAUGGGGAGCUUCCCUCAACACGAAAAAAUGAAAUGAGAAUAACAUGGUCAGAGCUGAAUCGAGUUAUUUUCUUUAACCAAAGCUUGUAGAACUUAAGUUGCGAAUUUAAGAAUACCAAAGCUUACACAGUCGGAGUGUGAAAAAAGAGUACACAGAUUCUUCGUGAAACUUGCAUGAAAAGAAAGAAAUAUACAAACCGAAAAUUUCAUAUACCGUAGUGAGGAAGAAGCAACAAAUUACAAGAGAGGAAAAAGCUUCAACUAUGGAUCAGCAUCGAGAUCGUGAUUCGAAGGAGAAGAAGUGGGAGAUGGAAGCUGAUCAAUUUCUCUUCGAGAAGCUUCCCAUAACUGUUGUUCUAUUCCCAGUUUCCUUAGCUCUAUCAAUCCUCUUUCCACUGAAGGAAGACAAAGAAAAAUCGAAACAUUUCAGCUUCAUCAUUGUGAAUCGAAAAGAUUUUCAAGCGAUAAGUCAGUAGGUGUGAUUUUUACCAUCCAAGGAAUCGUGAGAAGUAGUUGAUUUCCCGUUGCUACGGCUGAUCCAUAGCUGGACACGUUCUUCUGCGAUGUCUUCUUCCACACCCAGUAACUUAGCUCUGCCCCAGAAGUACAUCAGCCAUGCCUGGAUUAUGUGAAAUUGUAGCAAUCAAGACCAUAUUUUGAUUGAAACCCGUGUAUGUUCCAUUGCUCUACAUGUCUUUCUAAGCAACUGCAAUCAGGAUACACGUGUAUUUGAUGAUGAGAAAGUACCUGCUUAAAGGCAACAUCUUCUUGUUCCGCUUCACCCAAUUCUGCAUUUAAAAAUAAGAUGGGAAUAUUGUAAAAAAUAAUUAAUGAAAUGGCUGAUGACAUUGACAUGUGACUAUUAGUCCGACGAAGGCAUAUAUCGGCCUAGUGUCUCCAAGUUCUUUUUUCUCGACCACUUUCUCUACUAAAUCGACAACUCCACGCACUAUCAACAUCCAAUGGUUGAGGGUUCGACGCCCCAAGAACCUCUACAUAAGGGUGGAUCACAAAGAGAAGAUCAAAAGAACCUGAAAGUUUUUUCCUUACCAUAUGCAUCUACAAAUCUGGAUUCUCCAUGACCUUUGUGAUCUGUAAGACAUAGGAAAAAACAAAUAAUCACAUUUGCUUUUAGCUCUGCAGGAUGCCAAAGAUAUAUAUACCAUCGUCUGGAUGUGACCAGAGACAUGCCAUUACUGAAUAAUAAUAAUGAUAACUUUUGAGCAGAAACCGGUGCAGCUUCAUUAUAAGAGCUUAUGUGUGUUUCUAUAGAAGACAAUGCUCAUAGACAUCUUAAGAAUAGAAGCGGAGAGAAAGUGAAGGAUAUAUUUUGGUGUUAAAAGCUCGUAAUUCCAUACAUACCAGAAACAGUUUGACGUAUCAAACUUGGUUUUCUCUGCUGGGCAAAUGCAAGAACGAUAGCAUCCUCAACCUGAAUAUUUAAACAUAAAAGAAGAUUUUUAAAACGUUGUCUUUAGAGAUCUAUAGUUAAAGGUAACUUAGAAUCAAGAGCGGACACCUUUAAUGAUGCUAGCUCUCUCAAACCCAUCUCAACUGAAAGCAUACUUUCAAUAUUUCCUUCUCCAGUUAGAUCACUCAAAUCUCUAGCAGCUCUAUUCCGAUCAUUCCCACCUGCUUCAUUGGGAACAACAAUAAGCAAGGUAUACUUUACAGUUUAAACUAAAGCAGAAUUUAGACGAGCCUUUAUCCCAAGAUAAAUCCUUGGCCUUCUGUGCUGCAGAGGUGACAAGCUCAAAUGGAAGAGGAGCCAACGCCGACCAAUGCUCAUGCCUGGAUAGUGCUAUAUCCGCAAAAAUGUCUACAAAAGGAUAGAAUUGGAAGAAAGCACAUAUCAGAUGUACUACAUGUAUAAUUACCACACCAUAAAUAUGUGAAAAAUGUAUUAACAGAUUAUUAUUUUAGUUUAGAUUGAACUCUUUUGUUUUUAAAUGGAUAAGCCACCUACCGUAUUGCACAGCCAAACCCCAAUAUCGGGCAAGCCAACAUCUCUUCAGGACUACUUCUUCCUAUAUGAGUCAAUAAUUGAUAAAUUCAGAAACUUAUAAAUGAUUGAUAGAAUAGGAGACCUAGGCUUUCUCGACAAACCAUUUCGUCCUGUGUUAAAAUCAUCCUUUGAGUCAUUGUGCGAAGAGAUUUCGCUUCAGACUCUGCUUCUUGAAGCCGUUCUGCAGCGGUAGUAGCCUCGUCUUUCAAGCUCUGAACAUAGCAGAGACGAAUAAGACAAGGUUUCAUCAUGCAAAUAAAAAUGUUGCAACAAAUGAAACCAAUACUCCAGUGUAUUACCUCAAGUUCUGACCGUAGAGAAACAAGUACAUCAUCCUUCCCAUUGUUUUUCUGUUUAGCAGCAUUUAGAGUAGCCUGUAACAGGAACCAUUUUCCUCCACAGCUUAAAUAAUAUUUAUUUUUUACAUAAAUAAGCUACGUUAUUUAUGUUCACACUAACCUCUCUUUGACGCAAUGCUGCUUCCUUCCUAUAGAAAGACACAAUUAACAACAUCAGCGAUCAUAAGUACCACCCAUGAUUCUGGAAAAGAGAAACACAGAGAGAAGCAAAAGAAAGCACAAGCUUUUACCUGCUUAACAGUUUUGCCUCCAGAGACACUCCUUCACCAAGAGAGGCAACCUUUUAGGGGAAAAGGAUAAAACAAAUGAAACCUUGCACAACUGCCAAUACUAAAGCACAGGCGAUUUGAAGUAAAUAAAUAUGCAAAUCACUGAAACUGCAAGUGCUAACAUAUGAGAAUAGAUCGGUCCAUUUGUAAAUGAUUUUAUCAAAAUAUAAUCUGCAUCACCACCUAUAUUUUAACAAAGCCUGCUUAUACUAGAUAUAAGUCAGAGUAAGUUCAUAACAUUUGUAUACACUCAACAUCUCCAGUAGAUAUUAGGCAACUAUUUACGUCCUCUCCUAAAAAUAUAGAUAGCGCAACAAGGCAGGAGGUUGUAUCAACAAGAUAACGAUUGCUGACUUGAGUCUAAUAAAUAUUGUCAAUAAAGGGGUGCAAACGAGUGGCGAAUCUUUUCCCUUAGGGGUUUUAAGAAGCAACAUCAGUAAAAAGAAUGAACUACUCAAGAAAACUGGUUCCAAAACCUGUUUCUCAAGCUCCUUAGCCCUAGCUUCUGCUUCCGCCUUUUUUUCCUCUGCACGGCGAAGCUGUAAUCAAGAGCGAAUGUUAUGCACAACGGAGGUGAACAGCUUUAUUAAUUAAAAAUAAAUUUCAAUGUCAGACAUCAAACCUUCUCCAGUACAAUCUCAUUCUCCUCUUGUAGCAUAUCCAGCUGCAGUUAAAAAUUAAUCAGCCUCAAGUCAAGACAUCUUCCGACUCGCGCACAAAUUCUGAUUUUGACUAUAAUAUUCCAAUAUGCAAACACAGAAAAUUGACCAGAUACCAAAAAGGAUAAAAGAAACAAUCACAUACUUCAUCACGAAGAGCUGAAGCUUCCCGCUGAUCACCCUUUUCUUUUGAAUUUACUGAUGGUAGAUCAGCAAAAAACCUAUGAACAUUAAAAAUCUGGACAUUAGACGAAAGGGGCAAUCACUAUAUCUUUGAGCAAGGAGGCCAUUGACUUCCCAUUUAUUAUAAACCUCUCUAUAUCAAGCUUUGACUAACCACAUCUCUAAAACCAUCUCCAACCCAAUUCUAUAUUUUUCCUCUAGGCAUACUAAAAAUUGAGGUGAGUUUCACUCCAAUGGUCUAAGAAGUUGAAAAAUGAAAAAGCAACAACCUUUUAUCUCGGUUCCUAGUAGGAGGAUCAAGUGGAGGAAUAGCACUCGGAGCUUUCACCGCCACCCUGCUUGGGGGCAUUAGAUUAGGAGUCGGAGUCGUGGAUCUAGUCGAUAUCGACGGCCUUCCGGCUGAAGCAGACCGCACCGAAGGCACUUGCUCAACGAAGUUCCUACCUAACUAUAAUCAACCCAUAAAAAAAGAAACAAAUCAAAGUUCAUAACAUAUUCAAAAUCAAACUGAUCUGAGCUAUUUCUAGAAACAGGGAUGCGGAAUUCACCGCAGGCGACGGCGAUCUGUUGCGGAGAGCGAAGGAAACAGCCGGCGGUUUACUAUCUCCGUUGCUGUUAUUGCUCCCAGUGGAGGAUAGAGAAGAAGGUGCGUGACGAGCGGGUUUCAGAGAAGCAGGUGCGAAUCUGAGGCUUAGAUCUUCAUCCUCGUCUUCCUCAUCUUCGUCUCCGUUGUCUUUGUUCUGCAAGGCCAUGACCUUAGCCAAUCUCUGAGCCGCCGCUUUGGCAGCAACGUUUUGAGACCGUUUGGCGGUGGAGAAACCUCC